ACCUCCUCCCCCAGUUUACCUGUCUCCACCUCCACCCUAUCAUCACUACUACGGUUCUCCUUCUCCUCACCACUACUAAGCAAGUGCAUAAGUUUUGAGGUAAUAAUACCUAUCCAAAACUUUAUCAACACAAACUGCCAUGUAUAUCAUGCUAAGGACGUACACUUGAUCCAUGAAAAUGACUAGUAGAAGAUUUUUUUUAAGAACCAAAGAAAUACAUUAUUUUUUCGGUCUGUUUUCAAGAAUUUGAGCAGUAUACAGAUUAAAGAGUGUUUUUUUUUUUGUAAACUUGCUUGUCAACUUAAAAAUGCACAUAGCUGAAAGCCAACUGAAUAUUUGCAGGCAAAGGAGAAGGCAAUCGGUGUUUGAGACCUUCAAGAAGAUGUAGAAGAAUAAGAAUAAAAGCCCAAUGCGAGGAUGAUUCCAAGUUUCUACGUUACCAUUUCUACAUCUAAAUUGACUUUAGCUCCUGAGUUCCAUGUUUAUGGGGUUUGUACCGUUUUACGUACCAUGCAGUACAUGCUUGCAAGGUUUUCUGUCCUGUUGGCAAACUGCAGGUCCAUAUAAUAAAUGAAUACUAUUUACAUUACGACACUUUUCUCUUUUUCUCUUAUAUUUUGUCUUUAAUAUUGUUGAUCAUUUUUUUUUUAUCAAAAGCAUCAAAUGCUUAGGUAAUUUGGUCUAAUGCUAAUUGUUUUACUUUUAUUUUUCACCUACACCCCUUUUCAACUCAAAGGAUGCUAUAGUUUGUGAUAAUUGUUUAAGACCGAAGCAUGAUACUAAUAAAUAUCUCAUUGAAAGUCAAGGAAACUAACAUUAGGAAAAGUUUAAAUCUUGAUUUGAUGAAACUAUUUAUUCGUGGAAUUUAGAGAUACAAAACUCAAAUUGUGACGGUGUUGUUGCUAAAUUAUUAAGGACAUUAUCACCAUUAUUUUUCCCUGAUCACUAGUUUCAACUGCAAUGAUCUCAAUCUUUUUGUGACUAAUUCUUUCCUUAAUAAUUUAUAAAGACAAAACUCACAAAGAAUAUGUGACUAAUUCUUUCCUUUCGUCUUCUAAAGAAAAUGCCAACUGUUAGUUUAUCAAGGGGAAAAAGGAUCGACAUCAGUUAUUAUUGAAACUAGUAAGGAAUAAAUAAUGGUGAUAAUGUCCUUAAUAAUUUAACAACAGCACCAUCAGAAUUUGACUUUGAGCUUCGGUCUUAAACAAUGAUCACAAACUACAGCAUCCUUUGAGUUGAAAAAGGAAGUAGGUGAAAAGAAAAGUAAAAAAUACAAUUAGCAUUCCCUCAAAUUGUAGAAAGUUAGGUAGCAUUAUAGACAAGUUGAUAGCGGCAAUUUUACAUUUCAAACUUCACCUAUUCAAUAACUAAUUCGAUGGCUUGCUACAUGGUCAAUCUUUGGACCCCUUCCUGCCUCCAGAUAUCCCUUUCCUCAAUCAGGGGCUUCUACAAUUACCAGUUUCAAUUGUAUGGUAUAGUGUAAAUAUCAACAAAUUAGAUGUAGAUGCUAACAUAAUAAAUGUGAAUGCUAAGACAGCAACAUACAAUCGAACCUGCAAUUGUAUGAACCCCAAUCUCGCUUCCUAGUCCACCAUCUUUCUCUAGGUAAUAAUCUCCCUUCUAAUUUAUUCACAAAAUGCACCUUUCAUCACCUCCAAUAGCGUCGACAUGAUCUUUACCCUAGAAGACUAUUCACCGACUCUCAAUUGACGUCAGAAAAUCUAAGAGUAAUUCUACUUUACCCUAAGAUUGAUAUCAACAAGACAAGGACAAUUUAGAAUUAUUACACGCCUCUUCUUAAUAGGAAAAAGAAAUAGAGAAGAAAGUCAGGCCAGGUCUAAUUUCUUUUCAAAGGCAAUACAACAUUACGAAAUCAAGCAUUCAUUCAUACAAAUAUUUCAUAGUCACCGGUUUGCUGAGUAGAAAAAUUUAGACAAAAACUUAAUAUUAUAUUGUUUAAGAGUUAACAAUUUAGAGCUUAAUCUCCUUGUACUUUGGAGUUAACAAUUUAGAGCUUAAUCUCCUUGUACUUUGGACUAAACUUGAACGUGAAAGGAAAUCCCAAAACCAUAUUGGGCAUGAAUUCACACUUAAUAUACCCAAUAAAAGAUGGCGACUGGUGAAAGGCAGUGGAGACUGGUGGAGAGAUUUGAGGAAUAGAAGCAGACGGAAAAGCAACAAAUUUUUGCCGAAAAACGGUCACUUUCAUGGUUAAUUUUGCUACUCUCCAAUUGUACUUGACCAAUUACAACAAUUUCAUGGAGUUUGAUACGUGAAAAGAAUUUUUUAUAAAUUUUAUUUUGAUCCAUAAUGUUAUCUUUACAUAUAUAAAACAUUUUACAAUUUUGAUUUUGGCGCAGCUAACUUUUGGUUAACAAAAAUGCUCAUGUUUAAAAAACCAGAAAUAAAACAAAACAAGAAACAAAAGAAAUAAGAGGGUAGCAUAGACAUUUUGGAUUUUUCCGUUAAUUUGGAUGAUUUCCACCCACGUUCUAAUUUAAUCCAAAACACAAAGGAAUUACGUAGAGGUUUUAAAUAAUCAGGGAGCUUCAUGAUCGAACCCCAAACCACGUGAUAGCAUACAAGAGUUCUAUUUCACUAUCGGUAGACAAAGACUUUCUAUGGUUGAUGUACCGUAGGAAAAAAUCUGCCUAUACAACGUGAUAGCAUUUUUUCAAAAACACAAGAUGGAAAAUUGCCCCCUUAAACGUGGAAAUUCAUGAUCUUUCCUCGAACAAAGAAUACUCACGCCUAUUCAAGAUGGAAAAUUGCCCCCUUAAACGUCUAUUUGUCAAUUCUUGAAAAAAGAAUACUCACGCCUAAAACACGGCCUCUUCAUCUGCAGAAUUCUAAAAAGUUACGUAAACUCUAUAAACAAGUUGAUAGGUACAAUCGUACCCAAGAUCAAGUACAGAUAGUUGUACAUUCACUGCUGCAAUAACUAAUCUGAUGACUUACAAACAUAUCAUGGUCAAUCGUUGAAUGGUAAUGAGUCUUUUGUUAUGCAUUAGUAUUAGUGUGUACACUCUAAUAGAUUGAUACUUAUACUCUUUAAAUUAUCAUAAUAAUACCCUUAAUUAACUUUAACUCUUAAAAAGAAUACGUGUUAAUACACGAGAGUGUGUAACCUGAAUUGUUACUUAUACAUUAGUGUGUAAUAGAUAGGGAUGGCAGUGAGGGCGAGUGCCCGCGGGGGGCUCUCGGGGCGGGGGCGGGGGAGAAUUUUUUCCCCCCGUUUAGAAACGGGGCAGGGGACGGGGGAGUAUACCCCCGCCCCAUCCCCCGCCCCGCCACCCGCAAAAAAAAUUAUAUAUAUAUAAUUAUAUAUAAUAUGUAAUUUAAUUAGUUAUAAACUUAUGAUAAUGAUAUUAUUAGUUAGAUGUAUUAUAUAAUGUAUAUUAGUGUAUGUAAUAUAAUUAAUAUUAUCAAUUAUACGAAUAAUUAGACAUGUCCACUAAUAGAGUUUAUUAAUUAGUUAUACUAAAUUUACUAAUACAUUUGUACUAAAUUUCUAAUUACACUUAAUAGAAUAACACUUUUUUCUAAAAAAAAAAGCACAAACACAAUAAUGAAUUAGUGAUUGUAUUUGUACCAAAAGUGAAAACUUAACUAUUUUAGUUGUAUUUAUUUCAUCAUGUUGGAUUGUAUUCAAAUAAUUUUUGUUUGAUUGUUUUUAUGAGUUUCAAUUGUAAAAUUAAAAUGAAUAAUAACUUGAUGAUGUGUUGAUAUUUUAGUACUUGAUUAUUUAUUGAUUUAACUAUAAUAAAAUUUUAUUUUAUUAAAAUUUAACUAUAAUAAAAUUUUAUUAACCAAACGAGUUAUUAAUCCCGCGGGGGCACCCACGGGGGAAGCGGGGCGGGGCGGGGGAGUGGGAGGCGGGGGACGGGGCGGGGGUGGGGGGAGUUGUAGGUAGCGGGGCGGGGGAUGGGGGAGGGGUCCCCCGCCCCAACCCCGCCAUCCCCCGCCCCGUUGCCAUCCCUAGUAAUAGACUGGCAAGCAUUGUGGUGGUCAUUGAGAACUUACUGGAGAAAUAGUCCUAUAAGCUGUUCAAUGAGCAAUCACAACUUGCUAAUUGGAUGACUAAUAUAGCUCUAGCUGUAAUGUUUUAAUUAAAUUACAUCACUAACGUUGGGAUGACUUUUUAACCAAAAAAAAAUGCCUUAGUUCAAGCUUUUCCCUUUAUUGUGCAUUUUUUAAAGCAUUUGAUAGGCACUGCAAAUCUGUCAUUUUGGACAUUUUAUUAUUGACUAACAAUGAAAGCCGUGACGUCUACCCAUAACCAACACAAGAUUAAAUUAAUAUUAGAAAAAAUAAUUGAGUAAUUGGAAAAAAAAAAAGAGACUCAUUUUCAUUGAAACCCACCGACAAACUAAACGUGUCCAUGGCUUUUGAAUAGUGCAUUCAACGUUUAAUUGUAUAGUCCAGUUCAUUGCAGAUUACAUGGAGUAAAGAUUGUGCUCUUUCCUUUUUCACCCCUUUUGGAAUCGAUACUGUGGAGAAUUGGGUUUUUCCCUUCUUUUUUUCUUUUCUUUCCUUCUGUGCUUUGCAAAACAUAGGUAAAAAUAUGAAAUCCGAAGCAUUCUUUAAUUGGGAUUAAGUAUUGUUGUUGAAAUUAAAAAGAAAAAAGAAAGAACAACAAAAUUCCCAAUCUGGGUUGAUUGUUGAGCUCUAGAUUGGUUGCAUCGUGCUUCCAUAGAAGCUCUCUUAGUGUGAUACACUGCUUUCAAUCAGUUUAACACGGGAAAAAAAAAAAAAGAGAUGAAAAGCAAAUUUGGUGGGGAUAAUUUCAGAAACCUCCCCUGAAGAUUUUGACUAUUCUACUGGUCUCCCUUCAGAUUUUAAAAAUUACACUAAUCUUCCUUGAAGUUAAUUAUCUUGUAACAUUUAAAUUCAAUCAAUAAUUUAAAAAAUGAUAUUAUGAGAGAGAAAAUAAUGAUUUUAUCAUUGCCCCCCAUCUUACUACAUUAUUUAAUUAAUUUAAUAGCAACCCACACAUUAAAGAAAAAUAUUAAAAUUUGUUGUUUAUCAUUAAAGAUCAAAUCGCUUAUAACAUCAAAUAAUAGUAUAUUAUUUAUAUUUUUCACUCAAUAUAAUAUCCAAAUUACUCUUUUCAAUUACAUACCCAUUGUUAGACAAUCAACAACAAAUAACCAAAAAAUUUGCAACCAAAAUAUUACAAAAAAAUAAACUUUAACAUAUAAAUAUUCUUAUCAACAUAUUAAAGUUAGUUACUGAAAUUUUUAUGCUGUUAAACUUCACUCUUUUUGGUUACAGAUUUUUUUGAUUAUUUGUUAUUAAUUAUGUUUGAUGAUGGAUUUAUAAUUGAAAAGAACAAUUUGAAACUUACAUUAAGUAAAAUAUAUAGAGUGAUAUACUAUUUUUUAUAACAUAUGUGAUUCAAUCCUUCUUGAUAGGAUUGGUAAUAGAGGUAGAGGGGGGAGCCGGCUGCAUCCGGUCUACUUUUCAUAGAUAGUACAAUAUUGCGAAAUCGAUCGCAUUCACGCAAUAUUAUUUCCAAGUCAUUGCAUGGCUAAGCUGCAAAAAAAGUACGAACACAUGUUAUUAUAUAGCUUACGAUUCAAAACUUUAGAGCAUAACCCUCCACCUAACACAAUUGAAUAAUGAACAUUCACGUUUGUCAAAUCUGUCAAAGCACAGUUUGAGGACAACCCAUUCCAACCUGCAAAAGAUUUUUUACUUUUCUAAAGUUGUUGAGAGCUGUAAAAAGACUUACCAUGCUUGCAUCCUCCGAGCCUUGGGAGUUAAAAAUGAAGGCACUGAGUGCUAUAAAAAGGGGAAUAGAGGCUGCCUAGAAGCAUAUCAGCCUAAAACAAGAAUUUGUAGUUAAGAUGGGAAGCAAAGCAAAAGCAAUGGGGUCUGGGCUGACUCCUCUUCUUGCCACUGUUUUAGUGGUGUUUGUUGCUCUUGGCUUGCCCUCACAAACUGCAGCUGAUGAUCACUACAAGUAUUCAUCUCCUCCUCCUCCUUACCACUAUCCCUCACCACCACCACCAGUGCAUAUACCUCCACCUCAUCCUGUUUACAAGUACAAAUCUCCACCACACCCCCAGUACAAGUAUAAGUCACCACCACCACCUCCUCAUCCGGUAUACAGUCUCCUCCGCCACCACACACCCAGUUUACAAGUACAAGUCACCACCACCACCUCCUCAUCCGGUACCACACCCAGUUUACAAGUAUAAGUCUCCUCCGCCACCAGUUUACAAAUACAAGUCUCCUCCACCACCACCUCCAGUGUACAAAUACAAGUCUCCACCACCACCAGUUUACCACUACAAGUCUCCACCACAGUUUACAAAUACAAGUCUCCACCACCACCCCCAGUUUACAAAUACAAGUCUCCACCACCACCAGUUUACCACUACAAGUCACCACCACCUCCUCCCCCAGUUUACAAAUACAAGUCUCCACCACCUCCUCACCACUACUAAGCAAUUGCUUCUGAGGUAAUAACACUUGUUCAAUAUACCCACUUCUGCAUGAUAAAGCAUAUCUCUAUCAACACAAACUGUCAUGUCUAUCAUGCUAAGUGCCUUCACUUCAUCCACCAAAAUGACUGCUAGAAAAUUUUUUUUAUGUUACCAAAGAAAGGCAUCAUUUUUUCCCUCUGUUAUCAAGAACUUGUACAGUAUAUAGAUUAAAGAGUAUUUUUUUAACUAGCUUAUCAACUGAGAAAUGCAUAUAGCUGAUAGCCAGCUGAAUAUUUGCAGGCAAAGGAGAAGGAAACCAGUGUUUGAGACCUUCUUGAAGAUGUAGAAGCAUAAGAAUUAAAGCCCAAUGUGAAGAUGAUGAUUUCAAGUUUUUCUACGUUACCAUUUCUUUAUCUAAAUUGGUUGUAGCGCCUUAGUUCCUUUGUUUAUGGGAUUUGUAUCGUUUUACGUACCAUGCAGUACAUGUCAUGUUUGUAAGGUUUUCUAUCCUGCCGGCAAACCGCAGGUUCCAUGUAAUAAAUCAAUACUAUUUAUAUUACGACACUUUUCUCUGUUUCUCUUAUAUUUUGUCGUCUUUAAUAUUCUUAAUCAUAUUUUUAACAAAAAUAUUCAAACACUUAGGCAAUCUGGUCUAAUGCUAAUUGUAUGUUUUACUUUUCUUUUUCACCUGCUCCCCUUUUCAACUCAAAAGGAUGCAAUAGUUUGUGAUCACUGUUUAAGACGGAAGCAUGAUACUAAUGAAUAUCUCAUUGAAACUCAAGGAAACUAACAUUGCGAAAAGUGUAAAUCUUGAUUUGAUGCAACUAUUUAUUCGUGGAAUCUAUAGUUACAAAACUCAAAUUCUGACUGCGCCAUUGAUAAAUUAUUAAUGACGCUAUCAUCAUUAUUUAUCCCUAACUAGUUUCGACUACAACUGAACCCAAUAUUUUCCCCAUGAUAAAAGUUUUUGACUAUUUUACUGGCCUCUCUUCAAAUUUUAAAAAUUACACUAAUCUUCAUUGAGAUUAAUUAUCUUGUAACAUUUAAGUCCAAUUAAUAAUUAAAAAAUGAUAUUAUGAGAGAGAAAAUAAUAUAAUUUUAUCAUUGCCCCCCAUCUUGCUAUAUUAUUUAAUUAAUUUAAUAGCAACCCACACAUUAAAGAAAAAUACUAAAAUUUGCUGCUUUUCAUUAAAGAUCAAAUUGCAUAUGCCAUAAAACAUAGUAUAUCAUUCUAUAUGUUUCACUUAAUGUAAGAUCCCAAUUGUUCUUUUCAAUUACAAACCCAUUGUCAAUAACAAAUAACCAAAAAAUUUGCAACCAAAAUAUUACAAAAAAAAACUUCAACAUCAUAAAUAUUCUUACCACCUCUAGUGCAUUCACCCUCAUAAAAUAAUUCAAGACCCUACUGUCAUAAAAUGACUGAUCAACUCCCGUAAACCUAAUUUGACAACAUUUAAAUGGAGAACUUUAGCUAAAAGAAUUAUGGUCAAGCUAAAGAAAAAACCAGUUAUUUUCCAACAUAUGCAAUCAUUGAUCAGGGAAAAAAAAAAGAGCAAAAAGACAUCUUCAAUCAUUUAAUAGCUUACAGGGCAAAUUAACCCCUAAGCGAAAACUGGUUGCUCUAGAAUCAAAAUUUUACUUUAGUUACCCAGGCAACUUUUUUGUUGCUUUUUUUUUUUUUUUCCUUUAGUUUUGCCCCCUCUGUCAAGCUUAUAAAAUUAUUAAGAUAAUAAAAGUGCCUUGAAUAGUAUUAAUAUAUCCAUUGACUUGAGCUGUCGUCAGUUUGCGAUUCCAUGAGGCCUUUUCAAAGUACUCAGAAAAUGGGGAGUCAUGAAAUCCAUUUGUUCUAUUCAUUGCUAAGAUGCUUUUCUCUAUAAAGAGACUUCCUAACGAAAAUACUUUGUAGAUUUCUUUACUCCAAGUGGUGCAUGGAAAAUUAAUAUUUUCAAUUAUCAAAUAAAAUUCCCUUUUUUCGGCGUAGAUUUCAUCCAUCCAGCUGUUAACACAUUCUAUAAAUCCGAAUUGACUAAUCUUUUCGUUUCCAUUUUCCAACUUGCGAAUACGGCAUAUAGUGUCUGCUAAACACUAUAUAUUCUCUGCCAAAUAUGAAUACAUAUCACUUUUCUGAGCAAGUGCAGAGUCAUUAUCAUUUUUAUUCCCACCUAACAAAUUAGGGAUAAAAAAGUUAAUAAUCUUUACAUGCUAUCAGGUCACAAGUUAAUAAUCUUUUAAAGAACAUGUUAAAUUAAUUUAUUGGUAUGAAUAGUAGUCAAAGAAGUAUGUUAAAGUUAGUAAUCUUUAAAAUAAUAUGUUAAAAUCAUUCGUACAAAUUAGUCAGAGAAGUAGCAUAAACACCGCGAUGCAAUUAAUACUUUCAAUCUCAAGGUCUCUAUUAUGGAAAUUUGCAUCGGUCAAUAUACACUUGGCAUAAUAUAAUCUCCCAACUCAUUUCUUUACAAAUGCACCUUUAAUCACCACCAAAAGGUGUGGACAUGAUCUUUACCCUAGAAAACUAUUCACCGACAGGCAAAUUGACGUCAGAAAUACUGAGGAAUUCUAGUUUCCUUCGGGUUCAUGCCAUGUUGUAUCCUUCAACUGUAACUCGAUUUCUAAGCUGUAAUUUGUGACAUAAUAGUCCUUAAACUAUGAAACCCUUCUUACUUAAUUACAAUGGUUAAUACAAUGCCCGUGACUAGACAAGUAUGAAGCAACCAUAACAGAAAAAAAAUCCAAAAUUAGAGAAAAGAAAGAAGUUUCGCGACCACCACCAGUUUACAAGUCACCUCCACCACCUCCUCCAGUUUACAAGUCACCUCCACCACCUUACCAUUAUUCCUCACCACCACCUCCAGUGCAUUCACCCCCACCACCACCAGUUUACAAGUCUCCGCCACCACCUUACCAUUAUUCCUCACCACCACCUCCUGUGCAUGCACCUCCACCACCAAUUUACAAGUCACCUCCUCCAGUUUACAAGUCUCCACCACCACCUUACGAUUAUUCCUCACCACCACCUCCAGUGCAUUCACCCCCACCACCACCAAUUUAUAAGUCUCCCCCACCGCCUCCCCCAGUAUAUAAGUCACCACCACCACCUCCUCCAGUAUACAAAUCACCUCCACCACCUCCUCCAGUUGACAAAUCUCCACCACCACCAAUUUAUAAAUACAAGUCUCCUCCACUACCUCCUCCAGUGUACAAGUCAUCACCACCACCUGCUUACAAGUCUCCACCUCCUCCAGUUUACAGUUCCCCACCACCACCAAUCUACAAGUCUCCACCUCCACCCUACCAUUACUACUACAAUUCUCCUCCUCCUCCUCGUCACUACUAAGCAAUUGUAUCCAAGUUUUUGAGGUAAUAACGCUUAACCAAUAAAUUAACUUUCGCAUGAUAAACCUUAUCUCUAUCAAGACAAACUGCCAUGUGUAUCAUGCCAAAUACGUACACCUAGAUCCAUGAAAAUGAAUGGUGAGGAGGGCCAUUUAGGCUCGGAGCGCCCUAGGCCUAGUUCCCCACCAUUUCCUGAAGUGCCGCCUCGGGUAUUAUCCUGGAAGGCGAUCGCGGCCCAUUUACCACCUCGGCUACAAUGUCAGGUCGUAACACCGAGGUGGACAUUGAAUGACAACUACGAAAAGGGGAGAUGUGAUCUCUGACACCUGAGCAAAGGCUGCUCUGACCCGCCGCCUGAAUCUGACAGAAUGUCCCAUCACGUCUCUUCAUGGAGACCGGUCAAGUCCACCUGAUCCACUGACUAUCUCAGAUCUUUUGGGACCCGUGCAAACAUCUCCUCUCUCCUAUCAGUCCCCUAUAAAUACACGAUACUUCUACUGAAAAAGGAGAUGACCAAUUUCUGGUAAAACACACUCCACUCAUUAUUUACUUCUCUAUAUCCGAACUGACUUAAGCUUCGGAGUUAUACCGGGGGAUCCAGCCCCUUUCUUAUCCAAGCAGGUGACUUCGUCCAAGAGAGUUGCCCAAGGUAAAGAUAUUCUUCCAAUUGAGGUGACUCACUCCUGCGGGUCGAAAAUCACCUCUUCAAUUGGCGCCGUCUGUGGGAACCGCAAAGAUAUUAGAAGAUGAAGCCUGCGCGUUCUAGAAGCAGAAAAGCUCUCACUAUCGAGGCUGGGCAAAGCAAUGCAGCUCAACAAGAAAAUAUUUCUGAAGGGCAGGAGUCCCCAAGGACUCAGCCCGCAAACGAAAAAGCCAUAACCCGUAUGGCCGAGUUUGUGACCGAGAACCCCAACAUCUUUGAAGAGUUGGGAAGAUACCUGAAGAGGCAAGGCAAACAAAAGGCCGAGUCCUCUAAAAGGAUGUCAGAUGGGUCUCUUGAGGACUCAUCUGAGGAGGAGUCGGAUGGAAGGCACUUAAGCCGAAGUGCCUCAAAGCGAGCAUUUUCUAAGGCCACUUCUAAGGUAGCCUCCCUGACCAAGGCGUUUUCCCGAGGGCUCUUGGGCCGACGACCCGAGGAAGAACCUCGGCCCUUGGGAAUACCCGGGGUGGACUGCAUGAGGGCUCCACCGUUCACGGAUGAUAUAAACGAGGAAAGGCUUCCUCCCAAUUUUAAGCUCCCCGCAGUACAAUCUUACGAUGGCCGAGGUGAUCCCGAGAAUCACAUCCAUACCUUCAUCUCGGCCUUCCAAAUAUACUGCAUCCCAGACCCUGUCAUAUGUCGGGCCUUUCCAGUAUUCCUCAGAGGAACUGCUCGAAAAUGGUUCUGAGCUCUAGAACCUAGGAGCAUUUCGACCCUGGGUGAAUUAGUGGAGAAGUUUCUCCACCGAUUUGUCUCCUCCCGACCUACGACUAGGACCUCGGCUUACCUGCUCACCGUGCAGCAGAACCCGGGAGAGUCACUCCGGUCGUACGUCCGGAGGUUCCAUGAGGAAAGCGUUCAGAUACCUGACCCCAAUGAGCAGGUAACCCUCGCUGCCUUUACCCAUGGACUCGUUGCCGGGGAGUUCAAUACGGGGAUCCAUAAAAAAUACCCCCGCACACUGCAUGAAUUGUGGUUGAAGGUUGAAAAGGGCAUACAGGCCGAAGACCUCCAUCGCAUGAAGAAAGAGGUCCAAGCCACCCGUCCAAGGGCUGAGCCCAGAAAGGGAAAAGACGCUGGCCGAACUGAAGUAGGGUCGGGAAGUGGCUUCCGAAGUCCUGGCCGAGACCGCCGCAGCGUGUUCGACAGGAUAUCCAAGGGGAAGUCACCUAUUCCCGAGUCCGAGUUGACUCCUUUAAAUACUACCCGAUCUCACGUGUUGUCCGUGAUGGAACAAAACAACCUCGGCAAGGGCCCGCCGAGGAUGUUUGGAAGCAGAGACAAGAGGAACUCGAACCUCUACUGCUUGUAUCAUCGUGACAUUGGUCACGAAACUGAGGAUUGCAACGAUCUCAAGAAGGAGAUCGAGAACCUCAUUAGACGGGGACACUUGAAACAGUUCAUCCGCAGAGGUGGAGGUCACCAACGUGACGAAAACCGGCAUGACAAAUGAGGUGACCAACGCCGAGAUGAGCGGCGGAGCUCCAGAAGCAGUUGCCGACCUCCUGAGGAUCCCAGGGAGACGAAAAGGCCUCCCCCAGACGGAUCUUCGGGACAUGGGCCAACCAUUGCCCGGGUCAUUAACACCAUUGCCGGAGGUCCGACGGGAGGGGACAGUCAGAACUCCCGGAAGAGAACCUAUAAGCAGGCUAACCCGGAUCAGGCCGAGUCGAGUUCUCGCCUGUCCGAGGUGAUCACCUACGGGCUCAGUGAUCCCAUCCCAGCUGCAUCCAGCAGUCAUGAAACCUUGGUGAUUGAAGUCCUCACCAAUAACUACAUUGUGAAAAGGUCUACAUAGACCCGGGAAGUUCAGUUGACGUCAUGUACCUCCGUACCUUUGAGAGCCUUAAAAUGGCUAAGGGGUGCAUGACCCCGCUGAGAACCCCUCUUGUAGGGUUCGGGGGACACGUGGUGCACCCCGAAGGGAUGGUGACUCUGACAGUGACCAUAGGGCAUCACUCUCGCUGUAGAACCGUCCCUGUCAAUUUUGUGGUGGUUAAGGCUGACUCCCCAUACAACCUACUUUUAGGUCGGCCUACGCUCAAUGCCUUGCGGGCGGUCUACUCCACCUACCACCUGAGCUUCAAGUUUCCUACCCCAGCAGGGGUGGCCGAGGUCAGCAGCGACGUCUGUGCUGUCCGGGAGUGCUACCUCGCCACCCUACAAGCAGCCUCCCCGUCUACCUCCGGUGCGAGGUCCGAGAAGAGGUCAAAUAUCCUCUCAAUAGAUAGCAUCGAUCCUCAGUGAGCUGAGAAGGUCCCGAGGCUGGAGACUGGGGAUGAGGUGGAAGAGAUUCCCCUGGACCCCACGAAACCUGAUCAGACAGUUCGCGUUGGUACCCGAUUGCCCGGUCCUAUCCGAAGAGGUAUGAUGGACCUCCUCAGGGAAUACCGGGACGUCUUUGCUUGGGCCGCCGAAGAGGUCCAAGGAGUCCCGCACCAUCUCAUGAUGCAUGACUGAACGUCGACCCCCAAGUCCGUCCGGUCAAACAGAAGAGAAGGCACAUCGGCCCUGAGCGCAGCCAAGCUGUUGGUGAGGAAGUGGACAAGCUUUUACCCGCUAAAAUAAUCCGAAAAGUCCAAUACCCGAUCUGGUUGUCUAACUCGGUCAUGGUCAAGAAGGAUACGGGGGCUUGGAGAAUGUGCGUCGAUUUUACCGACCUCAACAAAGCCUGCUCCAAGGAUUGCUACCCCUUGCCCAAAGUCGAUACUUUGGUAGACUCAGCAAUGGGCUACGAGAUCCUCUGUUUCUGGGAUGCAUUCAAAGGCUAUCACCAAAUUGGGAUGAGUCAAGAAAACCAGGAGAAAACGGCCUUCUACACCGACCGCGGCACGUACUGUUAUACUACCAUGCCAUUCGGGUUGAAGAAUGCCGGAGCCACUUAUCAACGCUUGGUCAACCAAGCAUUCAAGUCUCAAAUCGGCCGGAAUGUUGAGGCCUAUGUAGAUGACAUCCUCCUCAAAAGCCAGACGAACUCCACCUUCCUGGCCGACUUGAAGGAGGUCCUUGACAUCCUGCGGAAGGUGAAAAUGAUGCUGAACCCCAAGAAAUGUGUUUUUGGGGUCACCUCGGGGAAAUUUCUAGGUUACCUCGUCUCAAGGCGAGGUAUCGAAGCAAAUCCGGAUAAGGUGCGAGCCAUCCAGGAGAUGUCUCCACCCCGGUGCGUCCGCGAUGUCCAAAGGCUGACAGGGCGAUUAGCCGCCCUGAAUCGGUUCUUAUCGCAGUCGGCAGCUAAAGCACUGCCCUUUUUCAAAGUGUUGAAGAAAGCUGACCAUUUCUCCUGGACGGAAGAGUGUCAACAGGCGUUUGAGCAGUUGAAGGAUUACCUUCACUACCUUCCAACGCUCACCUCACCUCGUCCGGGGGACAAAUUAAUCUUAUACCUUUCUGCUGCGGCCGAAGCGGUGAGUGCCGUGCUGAUAAGGAAGGAAGGGGUCCAAAUGCCCGUCUACUACGUUAGCCGAGUCCUCCGAGGUCCAGAGACCAGGUACACACAAGCAGAGAAACUUGUGCUAGCCCUGAUCCACGCCGCCCGCAGACUCAAGCCCUACUUCCUAGCUCACCACGUCUGCUUGAGGACUGAUCAACCACUUCGGCAGAUUUUGACACGACCAGAGGUUUCGGGACGUCUUACCAAAUGGGCCAUUGAGCUGGGGGAGUACGACCUAACUUAUGAGCCUCGCACAGCGAUCAAGGCCCAGGCUCUCGCAGACUUCGUAGCCGAGCUCACCUUUGACGAGGUGCAAGGAUCCGUCCCGGCUGCCACAUCGGCCACAGUUGAUGUGGCCACCACUGGGCUCCAGCGGUGGAUCCUACACGUGGACGGUUCGUCAACAGUGAGGGUAGUGGAGCAGGCUUGCUCCUCGAAGACCCCCAAGGAGAAAUAUGCUAAUAUGCCUUAAGAUUUGACUUCGCUGCUUCAAACAAUGAAGCUGAAUACGAAGCCGUCAUUGCUGGACUGCAGCUAGCUCGCAAGCUCGGGGCCGCACACAUCUUGGUUUAUAGUGAUUCCCAACUCGUCGUGUGCCAGAUAUUAGGUGAGUACGAAGCCAGGGACGAGGUGAUGCAUCGUUACCUCUCCAAGGUCCUCCAGUUGGCGACUCACUUCGAGUCUUUUGAAAUUCAAAGAAUACCGCUAUCGAAAAACAGAAGGGCUGACGCCCUCUCCCGGCUUGCCUCAACCUCUUUCUCUGACCUGAACAAGACGGUUCUCGUUGAAGUUCUAGCCGAACCAGGAUAUGUAGCCGAGGUAGUAUACCCCGUCUACCCUGGGGACACCUGGAUGGGUCCCCUGACUCGAUUUUUCAGCCAGGGUGAGCUCCCCGAAGACCGAGCUGAGUCACGGAAGCUCCAACGAAAAGCAGCACGGUACAUUCUCCGACAAGGCCUUUUAUACAAAAGGUCUUACCUCGGCCCUUAGUUGCGAUGUAUCACGCCCGAGGAAGGCCAGAGAAUCCUCCAAGACAUACAUGAGGGGCUCUGUGGUGCUCACGUCGGCUACAGAAUGCUGGUAAAAAAGGCUUUGUUACUUGGGUAUUUUUGGCCCACUAUGAGGAUAGAUGCCCAGGUCAUGGUCCUUUGCUGCCCCUCCUGCCAGCAUCACGCUCCUGAGCACCACCAGCCGACCAAUUUAAUGAUCCCUAUCACCUCGUCAUGGCCAUUUGAGCAAUGGGGAACGGACAUAAUUGGCCCCUUUCCCAGAGCUCCAGGCAAUUAUACCUACGUGGUGGUAGCAGUGGACUACUUCACCAAAUGGGUCGAAGCUGAACCCCUAAAAAAUAUCACUGGUGCGGCAGUCCAGAAAUUCUUCUGGAAGAAUGUGGUUUGCCGCUUCGGCCUACCCCGGGUGAUCAUCUCGGAUAAUGGCCGACAGUUCGCCGAUAAUCCUUUCAAGGCCUGGUGUGAGAACCUCGGGGUCAAACAGCAUUUCACUUCGGUGGGACACCCCCAAGCCAACGGACAAGCCGAAAACUUCAAUCGCACGCUCCUCCAUGGCCUCAAGACCAGGCUCCACCAGGCUGGAUCGUUUUGGAUGGAAGAGCUCCCCAGUGUGCUGUGGUCCUACCGAACUACGCCGAGAUCAGCAACCCAGGAAACCCCGUUUUCCUUAACCUACGGGUCAGAAGCUGUUGUUCCAGCCGAAUUCAUCACCCCGAGUCCACGAAUGGCCGCAUAUGCUGCCGAAGUCAAUGAAGAAGAACGGCGAGUUGACCUCGACCUCGUCGAAGAGAAGCGUGAUAUGGCCGCGGCCAAAGUUGCUGUUUACAAAAAUAUCGUAGCUGGCUACUACAACGCUCGGGUUAAACAUUUGCGGUUCAGUCCGGGAGACCUGGUGCUCAGGAAGAACUCAGUCAGCCGGGCUGAACCUCAGGGUAAACUAACCCCCAAGUGGGAGGGACCAUACCGUGUUGUUGAGUCCAGCCAAAAUGGAUAUUGUAAAUUGGCAUACCGAGAUGGGUCUCUGAGUGCCCCGAACUUGGCAUGCUGAAAAUCUUAAGUUGUACUACCCUUGAGGGUAUGUGCUUUUAAUCUUGAGUUAUUUCACACUUAUUUUCAUUUCAUUAUAAGUGAAAAAUAAGGGGACAAAGUAGCAGUAAAGAGGAAAACCGAAUUUAAUUAAAAAGAAAGCAAGAAUAUGAACUCAAUUCCAUUGAAUUACAUAAAAGUAGAAAGCCGAGGUCACCUUUAAUUAGGAAGAAAGCAAGAAUAUAAACUCAAUUCCAUUGAAUUACAUAAAAGUAGAAAGCCGAGGUCACCUUUGACCUCGGCCUACAAUGACAAAAAAAAAAACAAGUGCCUCUAGGCACUCCCUACCCUGACAUCCUGGCCCCCCGUGGUCGCGCCACCCGUUUCGGCACCCUGUCCACCCUCAGCUCCUCCACCGGCCUGGUCGUCUUCAGUACCAUCUAGUUCAAACUCCUGGAGCCAUUUGUUGAAUUCGGCUCGGACUUCGGUUAGGUCUUUCUCAGUCCGGAUGCCCUCAGCCAUGCUGUCGCAUAGCUCCUUGGCAUCCUCGUUAUAGUGCGAAGUGCUCUGAAGGGACUCCAGUUGUUCAGAGGGAAGAAAGGAUGCCGCGUCAUUAAUAGCCGACGUGUACCCGAACAUGAAGCUUGGCCGGGUGAGCUCGCCGAGGUCACGGAUGAAGGACUCUGACGUCCGGAAGGCUUCCACAGCAGUGACCCCGGCCUUGUCCAUGGCCUCCCUGUUUGACUGUUCUUCUUGGGCCCUCCUUUUUUUCUCCUCAUCAAGAGCAGUCACCAGGGAAUUGUUCGCGACCUCGGCCCUUUUGUUAGCCGCCUUGGCCUUGUCACGCUCCAACUCGGUUGCCUUCAGUUUUUCUUCCAACUCGGCAAUUCUCUUCUGGAGCUCGGCAGGAGGCUCAUAGUUUUCCAUGAACUUUCCAUACCGUUGAAUCAUCUCGACAAAAAAAGCCGUGGUAGAGGCCCAUGACACCGAGGCGCUCUGCAUCAACUCCCCUGCGGAGAGCUUCCUAGCAUAAGUGCUAUCUCGUGGCAGCACUGAAUGCACCAAGAGCUCCUGAGCGACCAAAGGGUUCUUGCAGCGAUCGUUGAAAUUAAUCUCCCACUCUGGACACCAGUGUGAUCCGGGGUGUCUCUUGUCCUCCUCAGCUGCCUUGAAAGGCACAUGAUGGAGUUUGAACAAAGAUGACCCCGUGACGGGGUUCUCCGGAAAUAUGGUCACACCCUGACCCCGGGGGGGAGUGGCAAUCGUGACCCAGCGAGAAGGGAUUCCCACCGGAAUUGCCGAGGCUCGGGAACCUCCCGGAGUGGCCGAGGUGUGCGAGCCCUCGCCCACGAUCACCACGGCAGGCUCGCGGUCGCCCGACGCCGCGGUGGUUUUCUUAGCCGGCCUGGAAGAGGACCCUGCAGUGUCCUUGCGCUUUUUGGGAGCUCUUUUGACCACCUCGACAUCUCCCGAGGUUAUCAGGUCGAAAAUCUUCGUCACUGCAAAGUAGGAGACGAAGUCAGUUAGAAUUCAAGAGGGAUAAACUAAAAGGGAAGAAAUGGAAAAAUACAAAGUCUGUGAAGCCUAGUCGAGAGUAAGACAGGCUGGUCAGAGCUCGUCAAGGCUCAACUGAUCCCGCCUUCCACGAGCACCACUUCGGGAAAAUCCCAGCAGUUUAUCCUGAGGCCCGACCCCGUUAACUUCUGGAAGUUACGCUCUUCUAACUUCCCUGGAGAUAUCUCCUUGAUCGAGGUGGGAGGCCUCCACCAGAAUCCGCGAGGGAAGUCAUCGGCCGAGACGAAGAAGAAGUUUUGCUUCCACUCCUUUAUUGAGUUCGGAGCAUCAACCACCAACUUCGGAACUUUGUUUCCGAAGUAGAACCAUCCUUUUUCACUUCUGCUGUUCUUGAGUGAGUAACAGCGGCGAAAGAGGUUGACCUAAGGUUGUAUCUCCUGAUGUCGGCAAAGUAGCUGGAAGCCAACGAGAAUGCGAAUAGCGUUAGGGGUGAGUUGAGUGAUUCUCACCCCCCAGUACCUCAGGCAGUCCCGAAGAAACCUCGUCGUGGGCACUCUGAGUCCGGCCUCCAGCUGUUCCUGAUAGAUAGUCACCUUGCCCUUUGGUGGCAGUGCGGCUGACUGAUGCGGUUGGGGUAUGUAAAUACUAUAAUCCCUUCUCCAGGGAUACCUGCGGACCACCUCGGCUAUUGAGGCUUGUCCCAUACCACUACUGAAGAACGGCAUCUGGCCGUAGUCGAGAGUUGCCACGUUUGGAGGAGUGGAAGGUUCUUGUACUCCCUCGUCUCUAGGGAUCUCAAUCCCGAGGUCAUCGUUGUAUAGGACCUCGGGCUGGACCUCGAUCUCCUCGGGCUGCACCUCAACCGCCUCAGCUCGGCGUGAUGCCUCGGCACCUCCACCCUCAGCUUGGUGAGAUGCCUCAGCACCUCCGCCCUCGGACGCGGUCCUUUCCUGGGAGGGGUCAGGCCUCUCUGCCUCAGUGAGGUCAGGUCUCACUGUCUCUUUGUGCGUACGAGCUGUUCUAGCCAUUGUAUCAGAAGGGGAAGAAGUGAACUUACUUAGAAUCUGCGACUGGAAGAAGAUGCCGAAGUAGACGUGGUUUAGAAAGGUUGCCGAAGUGAAAAGAGAAAGAAACAGAGUUCUGGGGUGAUUCUUGAUUUUUGGUGAAGAGUAAAACGGUGAAAAAAGACCACUAUUUAUAGGCCACCAGGGUGAAACCCAAGAGACGGCACCCUCUCUCUUCAUUAAUGGGAGGACUGUUCGUCUGCCAACACAGCUGACAGCCGUCCCUUCAGUUAUCACUCAGUCCCAUCUAUGCGGUCAUGACGUGUCCGUGUUCCGUGUUUUAUACGCUUCUCAGCUUCGGGAAGUAACGACCACGGCGGAUGCCCAUCUCGCCCUUCUCAAAGCUUGGGGGGCUUAGUGAGGAGGGCCAUUUAGGCUCGGAGCGCCCGAGGCCUAGUUCCCCAUCAUUUCCUGAAGUGCCGCCUCGGGUAUUAUCCUGGAAGGCGAUCGCGGCCCAUUUACCACCUCGGCUACAAUGUCAAGUCGUAACACCGAGGUGGACAUUGAAUGACAACUACGAAAAGGGGAGAUGUGAUCUCUGACACCUGAGCAAAGGCUGCUCUGACCCGCCGCCUGAAUCUGACAGAAUGUCCCAUCACGUCUCUUCAUGGAGACCGGUCAAGUCCACCUGAUCCACUGACUAUCUCAGAUCUUUUGGGACCCGUGCAAACAUCUCCUCUCUCCUAUCGGUCCCCUAUAAAUACACAAUAUUUCUACUGAAAAAGGGGAUGACCAAUUUCUGGUAAAACACACUCCACUCAUUACUUACUUCUCUAUAUCCGAACUGACUUAAGUUUCGGAGUUAUACCGGGGGAUCCAGCCCCUUUUCUUAUUCAAGCAGGUGACUUCGUCCAAGAGAGUUGCCCAAGGUAAAGAUAUUCUUCGAAUUGAGGUGACUCACUCCUGCGGGUCGAAAAUCACCUCUUCAAAUGGUAGAAAGUUUUCUUAAGAACCAAGAACAGCAUUAGUAUUCCCUCUGCUUCCAAAAACUUGUGUAUUAAAUAGAUUAAUGAAUUGUUUAACAUGCUCAUCUACUUGAAAAUGCACAAUACCCAUAACCCACUGAAAUUUUUGCAGGAAAAGGGAAAGAGAAUCUGUGUUUGAGAGCUUCAUGAAGAUGUUGAAGAAUAAGAAUAAAAGCCCAAUGCGAGGAUGUUUUCAAGUUUUUCUAUGUCCACUUUAAUUUGUAAAUUGAAUUUUACAACUCAAUUAAUUCCUUGUUUGUGAGGUACGUAUUGUUUUACGUACCAUGCCGUACAUGUUUGUAAGGAUUUCUAUCCUAUUGGCAAAAGUCGGUUCCAUACAAUUAAUCAAUUCAUUUCACUUCUAUUGGCUCUACUAUUUAUGCAUGUUACGACACUCUUUCCCUUAUAUUUUGCCUUUAAUAUUAUGAGUCAAUAGUAAUAAUGGGCCUUUUUCUUAAAAUUAUACUAUUAUACAUAGGUAGUUUGGUCUAACGCUAAAUUCAUGUUUGUCUUUCUUUUAUUCCCUUUACAUCUCAAAGUAUACUAUAGUUUGUAAUCAUUGUGGUGAUGAUAUUACCAGCUGGUACUUAUAGUUUAAGGCAGAGACAUGAUAUUAACAACUAUCUCAUUGAAACAUAAGUCAAAAUCAUGACAAGUGUGAGUCUUGGUUAAUGCACAAUUUGUUAGUGGAAUUUAUAUUUAUAAAACUCAAAAAAAAUUUUUGACAAUGCUAUUACUAAUUAAUUAAGGACUUCAUUGCUAUAAUUUAUCGCUUACUAGUUUAAACUAUAAAUGAUCUCAAUACUUUUCUCCAUGAUGUCGAUUUCUUUAGACUACGAAAGGGAAAAAUUAGUGACAUAUCCCUUACUGAUUACAACAUCAGCAAAAAUUAGUUAUAAACUUUUCCGGUGGUUUUAAAUCCCUCGGGCACUAAGGUUUUUUGCACAUCGAGUGAAUUAAGGAACAUAGGCAAUUCGUUCUGCAUACCAAGUCCUUGUUUAAGAUGCACGUACUAAAAUGCAUCCACUUCAUUAAUUUGGAAAAUUGCCAUAGUUUUUUUUAAGCAUUUUGAUUUUUUACAUGAUUCAAAAUUUUCUUAUUGGAUACAAUCACUUUGUGUCAAGAACACAUUUUCAAUCAUCUUUUUUAUCUUCUCAAUAAGAAAAUAAAAAUUUAUUCAUGCUUUUCUAACAUAUCCAAUCAUUGAUCUGAAAAAUAAAGAAUUAAAAAAAAAAGACAUUUUCAAUCAUUGCUUACAGGGCAACUUCCCCAUGUGAACCUCUUCAAACAAAGCCAAUAAUAUGAAGGAACAUCUAAAUACACUUUUGCCCUAAAGGCUGGUUGCCUUGGGGUCAAAAUUUAACCUUCGGGAGUAUAAUUACCCGCCAAAUUUAUUAUUUUUUAUGGGUAUAUAGUUCCAAUUUUGCCUCCUGUUAAGCUUAUAAAUAUAUUACGACCCAGAAAAUAAAGGAAUCUUGAAUAGUAACAUGUCCAUUGACUUGAGUUGUCAUCAAUUUGGCUACUUCGAUUCCAUGAGGCCAAUCCAAUUCACACUAGCUAGAGAAAAUGGUGAUAAAGGCACUUAGAAAUUUAUAUGUAAUAUUGAUUGGUAGUAACUGAUAAGUAUAUAUUUUACGUGUUUUAAAUAUGUUUUAUUAGUUAGUUUUGGUGUGUUUUAACUACUUUUAUAACUAAUUAACUAGGAAUCUAGUGAAAAUAUGCAUUUUGUGGUUUGAAGUGUGAAAAUUGUAUUUCUAUGGAUUUUAAUGGUGAAAACUUCAUGUUUUUGUAGGUUUAAUGAUUCAAUCAUCAAAUGACAUGAUUUGAGAAGAUAAUUAGAUGAUUGAUGAUGUUUUGAAGUGAUAAAAAGAGAAUACAAAGUGCAAGAGAGGAAAUGCAAUCAAGAAUAAAAGAAGAAAAUUUUUGUAGCUUUGACAUAUUGUGGUAUUUUGGCAAUAUAUUGAGCUACAAUGAUUGGAUUAAGGUGAUUCUUAAACCAUUUGAAGCUAAGAUAUAGAUCUACAUUUGGUAUGAAGGCAUCGAAACCCAUGUCAGUCAUUUUCCUUGUCAAAAUGUUGAAAUACAGAAGUGCAACUCUGUUCUCGAAAGCUAAAACAGAGCUCUGGCUAGUCGAGGGUAUUUUCAUCAUUUCUUAGUCCACAGAGCUCCAAAUGAGAUGAUUCUUAAGGCAUUAGAACCCUAACUCAAAGAGCUACAACUUUCAUAUUUUGUACAAGAGUUAGUUCGGCCUCCAUCAUUCAGAAAAUAGUAGUUGAAGUGGUGCCAAAUGCAUAGAAGUGAAAACGCGAGCUAUCAAUACUCGACCUGAAGUCGCGUAUUCCUGAGGUCAUGCAUUCUCUUCUAUUUUCUGCAACUUGCCCUGCUUUCACAUAAUUUUUUCAUCUCAAUUCCAACUAUCAAUUUCGGCUAUAUCUGAUCAAGAAAAGUGUGGAAAGUUUGAAAGACAACUCAUAGGAGUUUCAAGAGUCAAAAAUUACAAUUAGAAACAACUCAUUUGGCUCUUGAAUCCUCUAUAAAUAGAGGCCUUUGAAGAACAUUUUCACAACUUUGGAAGGUUAGAGAAACUCCACAAAAACAUAGUCUUCACUAGAAUUUCCUUAGUUCAUUAGUUAGGGUAGUAUAGUAUAGUUAGUGUAGCUUUUCCUUCUUGUAUUUAUAGUUAGGUUUGAAUGAAGAUUCAGGAGCAAAGAUAGAGAGGUUGAUCUCAUGUGACAAGGGUGAUAUCUCUUCUACUACUUUCUCUUUUGUAUUUGAUUUCAUAUUUAACUAUACUACAAAUUUGGCUUUGUUUUUUUUUUUUAUCAUGUUUAGUUAAAGUUUAUGCCUAGAGUAUGGAUGACCUUUCUAUAUCUUGUUUGUGAUAUUUAACUGGUUAUUUGAUGAUGUUAUUUUUGAGCAAGUUAUUUAUCACUUUUGCUUUUCUAAUCGUGAUUAACUGGCCAUUAGUUGUGAUUAUCUAAAAGUGUUAAGUUUGUAAUGAGAAUUGGAGUUUAACACUAGUUCAAGGAAGUGAUAAAUUUAGGGAGUUCACUCAUGAGAGUAGAGGAACACCUUUGUGACCUAAGUGACUUGUUUCAUAUAAUUUCAUAGAAAAAAUGAACUUGUAAUUAAUUUCAUAACCACGAGAGUAAGUAUGGUUUAGCUAUAUGUAUAGUUGAUUCACUACGAGAGUAGGUUUCACAUACAUUAGAAAAUUACAUCAUAACUAGUCAAGAUAAUAUCAUUCAUUUAAUCAGUAAUCUCAUUUGCAUGAGUAGUAAGGCAUUCCAUAUCUCUAGGAGGUUUUUAGUAUUAUUUUCAUUACUUUUAUGUUUAUGGUAGUCUAGAUAAUAAUGGAGUUCAAAAACUACUAGUAAUUGAAAAUUUUCCCUGUGGGAUCGACCUUUAAUACCCUAUACUCGCUCUCGACUCGUAUACUUGCGAAAAAUCACGUGUGCGGUAUUUAGAAUUUAUAAAUGUAAAACUUGACUGUAGAUGAACUAAUUGAUAUAUGUAUACCCCGCACUCGUCAGUAACCAGCUUGUAUUGAUCCCAUUAUUGUGGAUAAUUGUGCUCUUAUGAAAAAAAAUUAUAAAAAAAUUAGCAAAAUUUAUGAUAACAAAUUAAAUUUAUUCAUACAAAUCAGUGAAAGAAGUAGAAUUUUAAAGACCAUGAUGAAAUUAAUACUUUCAAGGGCUCUAUUAGGAAGACUUCACUUGUUGGUGAAACUACACUAGCACAGUUAUAUGCACAUUUACUGUUUUGGUAUCUAAUUUCCUUGCCUUAAGUUGGGUGCAGAUGUUUAUAUUACAAAUAGAUGGUAUCAUAAAAUUGUUGUAUUCACGUUUGUUCUUUUUUUUUCUUCCUUAAGUUUUUUUCUUUAUUCUCGUGACUUCAAAAAUACGAACUCAAGAAAUUGGCUGCUUAAUCAAUAUGUCAUACAGGCUUCGCUAGUGAGGUAUAACUUCACAACUAGAGUCAAUAGAAAUUAUCAAAUGAUUUUUUAACAUCCAAAUUAAGCAAUAAAUUUUGUUUUCAUUUUAUGACAUAUAAUAGUACUACUUCAUGAGAGAUUUUAUAGUUUCUUUUAGGUAUCAUACCUACAAGUGAUAUUUGUCAUUGGAUAGUGACAGAAGUGUUAAUGAUUGUAAGAUUAAAUAUUGUUAAAUAUUGAAAUUUAAACUAUUUAUCUUUAUUGAAAGAUACAAGUUAAAGAAUCGUUCAAGGGGGCAAUUUUCCAUCUUGUCUUUUUGAAAAAACGCUAUCACAUUGUAUAGGCAUGAUAGGUUCAAAUUUGUCAUUAAAUUUAUGAUUGAUUUCCCUUUUAUUCAAGCCAAAUAUUGUUUUAAUUAUCAAAUUCUACUUAUAUUUGGUUAAUUGUACUAAUUGUAGGGCGGUAGAGCAAAAGUUGCUAAAAAUAGGUGAUUUUCUGCAAAUUGGUUGUCAAGGCUGAAGGAUUUGGGAUUCGCAUGUUCAAGGCCUGUUUCCAAGUUUGAUUCAAACUCUGGACAGUUUUAGAGGAAGAUUUGGAAGAUUUGAAAUUUCAUUAUUAGUUUUAUGGUUGAAUUAGGAAUCUUGGAAUAAUUUCUUUUGUGAUUUAUUUUUCUAUUUAGGAGACUAGUUGUUAUUUAGUAGUAGACUUCAAUUAGAAAACAAAGAGAAAAAGAAGGCCGGAAUCCCGCUUGAUUAAUACCUUGGCCAGGGAACAAUCUCGGUGGGGAGGACGGCCACUUAGCCUCUCAAUUCAUCUUGCUUUUCGUUAGUUUGAGAGGAAAACCAAUUGCAACUAGAUUCAAUGGAGUCUGGCAGAAUUUCUUCUAGGAUGCGUAGCUAAAUCCUCAAUUUUUAGUCGAAGGUCAAUUUGAAAAUUCGGUUCCAAAUAUCUGUGAAAUCGAAUUAUUUUACUUAUUUCUUUUAUUUAUUGGUAUUCGCACGUUUUCUGAUUUAACUUUUUAUGAUUGUUUUGUUAUUUGAAUGUCAAGGGUCCGAUAUUCGAAUUAACUUAAUAAUCUACUGCCAAAUUAACCGGUUAAAUCCGUAAUUGUUUGAUUGAUUAAUAUCAGUGGCGACUAGCGUGAUUGGUCCCAUGUUAGGAAAACGUCUGAUCUAAUUUAAACAAACCGUCGUAGCGUGUUUGUUGAUUAGGGUUGGACUUUUCUAAUUCUUAAUUCAAUUGAGAAAUUAAAUCUCCCGGUCGUACCUAAGAUUAUUUUUUUGUUAGCGAAAUAGUUAAUGGUCGUACCUUGACUAUCGAAAAAGUAAGGAAGAGUUGAUUGUUUAUCGCGUGUACGACAACUAUAAUCAAUCUAUUAAUGAGUAAUUGAAUUAUCUUUGCAUCAGUAAUCAGUUGAAUGGACCGUGUCUGAAAAGUUGUACCUUUGGCUAGAGUCUUAUCUGUUGUUGAUUCAUUCAUAUCUAUCUUCAUGCGUUGUUUUAAUUUAGUUAAUUAGUUAUUUUUAUAAAAACCCCUCAUCUCUGGACUCUAAAAGAAAUAAAUUAUUUCUAGUUCCUGUGGAUUCGAUCCUACUCACCGCUAUAUACAAAAUUUGUAUUUUUUUGAAUAAAUAAUUAUUAUUACACAGGCUUGACACCUGUCAAGGCAAAAUUUCCUUAACUUCAUCAUCUGUAGACGUAAACUUUCUACGGGUGAUAUAAUAUAAGGAAAUUUUGCCUAUACGAUGUGAUAGCAUUUUUUCAAAAAAGACAAGAUGGAAAAUUGCUCCCUUGAACGGAAAAAAUCAUGAUCUUUCCUCAAACUAGUCUACUAGUCAAUUCUUUACAAAAGAAUACUCGCUCCUAAACAUAGCCUGUUCAUCUACACUGUCCCGCAGAAUUCUAGAAAGUUAGGCAAAACUAGACAAGUUGACAGGUAUAAUCAUACCCAAGAUCAGGAACAAGCAGUUGCACAUUUCAAAAUUCGCUGCUGCAACAGCUAAUUUGAUGACUUACAACACUACACGGUCAAACUUUGAAUGGCAAUGGAUCUUUUGUUGUACGUCAUGAUGUAAUUUUCAUGUUACAUACAUUAAUAGGUUGAUAUCUAUAUUCUUUAAAUUAUCAUGAUAAUACCCUUAAUUAGAUUUAACUGAUAAAAAGAACACGUGUUAAUAUACAAAAGUGUGUAACGUGAAUGUUACAUUACUGUAUUGCAGAAGACCUAUAGUCUCUUCAUAUCUCUUCCUGCACGUAUCAAUUCGUUUCCUCUAGAUAAUAAUCUCCCAACUCGUUUCUUUACAAAUGCACCUUUUAUGUUUUAUUACCUCCAAAAGCCUUUACAGGGUCUUUACCCUAAAAAUCAAUUCACCGACUCGCAUUUGAUGUCAGAAAUUCUUAAGACGAAUUCUACUUUACUCAAAGAUUGACUGUUAAUAAUGAGACAGCGACCAUUUUGUAUUAUUAGACCGUCCUUCUUGAUAGGUAAAAGAAAUAGAGAGGAAAGUGGGUCCGUAUAUGGUCUUUUAUUCAUAGAUAAUACAACAUUACGCCAUCGAGCAUUCACACAAUAUUUCAAAGUCAUAGCAUGCCUAAGGCCCUGUUUGAUAGCUCAAUUUCGUAAUUAAAUUUAAUAGAUUCAAAUUUUAACACAUUUAAAUCAUUUGAUAACAAAAAAUUGAAUAUUUAAAUUAAUUAAGUAACACUGAACUUUCUAAACAAAACUUGCUUUCAAAAUUAAGUGAUAAGUUAUUCACUUAUCUUUGAAUGUGAUAUGCACUCAAAUAUAUUAAAUUUAAUAAUUUAAUGGAUUCAGAUUUCAGAUUUCAGUUUUAUUACACACCCUAAGUUGCAAAAUAAUACCAAAACUUGUUAUUAUAUAGCUUGAGAUUCAAAAAUUUAGAGCAUAAUUCUCAACCUAACACAAUCGAAUAAUGAAUAUUCACGAUUGUUUCAAAGUACAAUUUGAGGACAACCCAUUCCAACGCGUACACGAUUUUUAACUUUUCUAAAGUUGUUGAGAGCUGUUAAAAGAGAUUUACCAUGUUUACAUCUUCCAAGUCUUGGAAGUGAAAAAUGAAGCCACUGAGUGCUAUAAAAAGGGGGCUAGAGGCUGCCUAGAAGCAUAUCAGCCUAAAACAAGAAUUUGUAGUAACAAUGGGGAGCAAAGCAAAAGCAACGGGGUCUAGGCUGACUCCUCUUCUUACCACUGUUUUAGUGGUAUUUGUCGCCCUUGGCUUGCCCUUGGAAACUGCAGCUGAUUAUUACAAGUAUUCAUCUCCUCCUCCUCCUCCUUACCACUAUUCUUCACCACCACCUCCAGUGUAUUCACCUCCACCAACCCCUGCUUAUAAGUUACCCCCACCAUCUCCUCCAGUUUACAAGUCCUCACCACCACCUUACCACUACUCACCACCUCCGGUGUAUUUACCUCCACCAUCUCCAGUUUACAAGUCACCACCACUACCCCCUCCGGUAUACAACUCCCCGCCUCCACCAGUGUACAAAUACAAGUCCCCACCACCACCUCCUCCAGUUUACAAAUCUCCAUCGCCACCAGUUUACAAAUACAAGUCACUCCCACCACCUCCUCCGGUAUACAAGUCUCCUCCGCCACCUGUUUACGAGUACAAGUCUCCUCCACCACCUCCUCCAGUGUACAAGUCCCCACCACCUCCAGUUUACAAGUACAACUCACCUCCACCUCCUCCCCCAGUUUACCUGUCUCCACCUCCACCCUAUCAUCACUACUACGGUUCUCCUUCUCCUCACCACUACUAAGCAAGUGCAUAAGUUUUGAGGUAAUAAUACCUAUCCAAAACUUUAUCAACACAAACUGCCAUGUAUAUUAUCAUGCUAAGGACGUACACUUGAUCCAUGAAAAUGACUAGUAGAAGAUUUUUUUUAAGAACCAAAGAAAUACAUUAUUUUUUCGGUCUGUUUUCAAGAAUUUGAGCAGUAUACAGAUUAAAGAGUGUUUUUUUUUUUGUAAACUUGCUUGUCAACUUAAAAAUGCACAUAGCUGAAAGCCAACUGAAUAUUUGCAGGCAAAGGAGAAGGCAAUCGGUGUUUGAGACCUUCAAGAAGAUGUAGAAGAAUAAGAAUAAAAGCCCAAUGCGAGGAUGAUUCCAAGUUUCUACGUUACCAUUUCUACAUCUAAAUUGACUUUAGCUCCUGAGUUCCAUGUUUAUGGGGUUUGUACCGUUUUACGUACCAUGCAGUACAUGCUUGCAAGGUUUUCUGUCCUGUUGGCAAACUGCAGGUCCAUAUAAUAAAUGAAUACUAUUUACAUUACGACACUUUUCUCUUUUUCUCUUAUAUUUUGUCUUUAAUAUUGUUGAUCAUUUUUUUUUUAUCAAAAGCAUCAAAUGCUUAGGUAAUUUGGUCUAAUGCUAAUUGUUUUACUUUUAUUUUUCACCUACACCCCUUUUCAACUCAAAGGAUGCUAUAGUUUGUGAUAAUUGUUUAAGACCGAAGCAUGAUACUAAUAAAUAUCUCAUUGAAAGUCAAGGAAACUAACAUUAGGAAAAGUUUAAAUCUUGAUUUGAUGAAACUAUUUAUUCGUGGAAUUUAGAGAUACAAAACUCAAAUUGUGACGGUGUUGUUGCUAAAUUAUUAAGGACAUUAUCACCAUUAUUUUUCCCUGAUCACUAGUUUCAACUGCAAUGAUCUCAAUCUUUUUGUGACUAAUUCUUUCCUUAAUAAUUUAUAAAGACAAAACUCACAAAGAAUAUGUGACUAAUUCUUUCCUUUCGUCUUCUAAAGAAAAUGCCAACUGUUAGUUUAUCAAGGGGAAAAAGGAUCGACAUCAGUUAUUAUUGAAACUAGUAAGGAAUAAAUAAUGGUGAUAAUGUCCUUAAUAAUUUAACAACAGCACCAUCAGAAUUUGACUUUGAGCUUCGGUCUUAAACAAUGAUCACAAACUACAGCAUCCUUUGAGUUGAAAAAGGAAGUAGGUGAAAAGAAAAGUAAAAAAUACAAUUAGCAUUCCCUCAAAUUGUAGAAAGUUAGGUAGCAUUAUAGACAAGUUGAUAGCGGCAAUUUUACAUUUCAAACUUCACCUAUUCAAUAACUAAUUCGAUGGCUUGCUACAUGGUCAAUCUUUGGACCCCUUCCUGCCUCCAGAUAUCCCUUUCCUCAAUCAGGGGCUUCUACAAUUACCAGUUUCAAUUGUAUGGUAUAGUGUAAAUAUCAACAAAUUAGAUGUAGAUGCUAACAUAAUAAAUGUGAAUGCUAAGACAGCAACAUACAAUCGAACCUGCAAUUGUAUGAACCCCAAUCUCGCUUCCUAGUCCACCAUCUUUCUCUAGGUAAUAAUCUCCCUUCUAAUUUAUUCACAAAAUGCACCUUUCAUCACCUCCAAUAGCGUCGACAUGAUCUUUACCCUAGAAGACUAUUCACCGACUCUCAAUUGACGUCAGAAAAUCUAAGAGUAAUUCUACUUUACCCUAAGAUUGAUAUCAACAAGACAAGGACAAUUUAGAAUUAUUACACGCCUCUUCUUAAUAGGAAAAAGAAAUAGAGAAGAAAGUCAGGCCAGGUCUAAUUUCUUUUCAAAGGCAAUACAACAUUACGAAAUCAAGCAUUCAUUCAUACAAAUAUUUCAUAGUCACCGGUUUGCUGAGUAGAAAAAUUUAGACAAAAACUUAAUAUUAUAUUGUUUAAGAGUUAACAAUUUAGAGCUUAAUCUCCUUGUACUUUGGAGUUAACAAUUUAGAGCUUAAUCUCCUUGUACUUUGGACUAAACUUGAACGUGAAAGGAAAUCCCAAAACCAUAUUGGGCAUGAAUUCACACUUAAUAUACCCAAUAAAAGAUGGCGACUGGUGAAAGGCAGUGGAGACUGGUGGAGAGAUUUGAGGAAUAGAAGCAGACGGAAAAGCAACAAAUUUUUGCCGAAAAACGGUCACUUUCAUGGUUAAUUUUGCUACUCUCCAAUUGUACUUGACCAAUUACAACAAUUUCAUGGAGUUUGAUACGUGAAAAGAAUUUUUUAUAAAUUUUAUUUUGAUCCAUAAUGUUAUCUUUACAUAUAUAAAACAUUUUACAAUUUUGAUUUUGGCGCAGCUAACUUUUGGUUAACAAAAAUGCUCAUGUUUAAAAAACCAGAAAUAAAACAAAACAAGAAACAAAAGAAAUAAGAGGGUAGCAUAGACAUUUUGGAUUUUUCCGUUAAUUUGGAUGAUUUCCACCCACGUUCUAAUUUAAUCCAAAACACAAAGGAAUUACGUAGAGGUUUUAAAUAAUGAGGGAGCUUCAUGAUCGAACCCCAAACCACAAGGCGAUUUACUAUAUUUUACUCUUAAAUUUUGGUUUCAUCUCAUAGCAUACAAGAGUUCUAUUUCACUAUCUGUAGACAAAGACUUUCUAUGGUUGAUGUACCAUAGGAAAAAAUCUGCCUAUACAACGUGAUAGCAUUUUUUCAAAAACACAAGAUGGAAAAUUGCCCCUUAAACGGGGAAAUUCAUGAUCUUUCGUCGAACAAAGAAUACUCACGCCUAUUCAAGAUGGAAAAUUGCCCCCUUAAACGUCUAUUUGUCAAUUCUUGAAAAAAGAAUACUCACGCCUAAAACACGGCCUCUUCAUCUGCAGAAUUCUAAAAAGUUAGGUAAACUCUAUAAACAAGUUGAUAGGUACAAUCGUACCCAAGAUCAAGUACAGAUAGUUGUACAUUAACUGCUGCAAUAACUAAUCUGAUGACUUAUAAACAUAUCAUGGUCAAUCGUUGAAUGGUAAUGAGUCUUUUGUUAUGCAUUAGUAUUAGUGUGUACACUCUAAUAGAUUGAUACUUAUACUCUUUAAAUUAUCAUAAUAAUACCCUUAAUUAACUUUAACUCUUAAAAAGAAUACAUGUUAAUACACGAGUGUGUGUAACCUGAAUUGUUACUUAUAAAUUAGUGUGUAAUAGAUAGGGAUGGCAAUGGGGGCGGGUGCCCGCGGGGGGCUCUCGGGGCGGGGGUUGGGGCGGGGGGGAAUUUUUUCCCCCCGUUUAGAAAUGGGGCAGGGGACGGGGGAGUAUACCCCCGCCCCAUCCCCCGCAAAAAAAAAAUUAUAUAUAAUAUGUAAUUUAAUUAGUUAUAAACUUAUGAUAAUGAUAUUAUUAGUUAGAUGUAUUAUAUAAUGUAUAUUAGUGUAUGUAAUAUAAUUAAUAUUAUCAAUUAUAUGAAUAAUUAGACAUGUCUACUAAUAGAAUUUAUGAAUUAGUUAUACUAAAUUUACUAAUACAUUUAUACUAAAUUUCUAAUUACACUUAAUAGAAUAACACUUUUUUCUAAAACAAAAAAGCACAAACACAAUAAUGAAUUAGUGAUUGUAUGAUAGGGUGUAAUUUUACUAUUUAUUUUAUUAUUAAUUUCCCCUAUCACCUGACCUGAUGUGGAUUAAUUGCUGGAUUCUGCUCACUUUUAGUACUUUGUAUUUAUUUCAGGGAGUAGAACGGAAAUUUGAUAACAGGUGCUAAUUUGGCAGAAAAAGAGUCCAGAUGAUAGAGCUUGCCCCAAGGGCAUUUUUGGAAAGGAGAACUUGUGCCCAUCUUGGUAAUUUGGGAGAAAAGGGAAACAGACAAAAUGGGUCUAACAUGGAUUGGAAGCGGCCGCACAGUAGCAGGGAAGAGGGCAGACGUAAAAGCAAUUGCAGGGGGGAAAAGGAGUUUUUUUAGUUUUUAGCUUAGCAUCUGAUUUUCCCUGGGAGACUUUUGUUAAAGAUUUCCUUUUGGCUGAUAUUACGCAUGGCAGAUGGCUUUUAACUUAUUCCUCCAUCUUUGACUUUUCUUCUUUAGCUUGUGGCAGUGGAUUGCUACUUACGAAUGUCAGCACUUAGCCAUUCGUGGCUUUUGAUCUUUUCUUCCUUAGAAAUUCUGAGUAACCUCUUUUCCUUUGUGCGCCAGACGAAGUGAAAACUAUAAACUUUUGUAGUUUUUCUAUUCAUUCAAUAUAUUGAGACGAGUUGGAUUCUACCAAAUUUCAACGGACAUGGCCGCUGGUUUCUCUUCAAUUUUAUAUGGGCUUUGUUCAUCCAACAUGAACUAAUUUCACCACUCUAGUCAAGGAGCAACGAAGGCUCUGAUUUGCCUAAAAAUUGUGAGAUCGUUUUAAUUUAAUCUUUUCCUUUUAUUUAUUGGUAUCCGCACAUUUCUUGAUUGCUAUGCUUAUGGUUAUUUAAUUAAUUGAUUGUCUUGGAUCCAGAUAAUUAAUUGAUCUGAUAGCCUAUUGUCAAUUAGGGCAUUUAAAUCCGUAAUUGUUUAAUUGUCCUGAAAUAGUGACAACUGGCACGAUUAGAUUCGUGCCAGGGGGGAUAUGCGGGCUAAUCUAAAAUAACCCUGGUAGUGUGUUAUUUGGUUAGAAUAGGGCUCCUCUAAUACUAAGGCAAUUGGGGAAUUAAAUUCUACGGGCGUACCUAGGAUUAUUUCUUAAUUAGAGCAGUGAUUAACGGGCGUACCUUGAUCACCGACACAGUAAGGAGGGGUUGACCGUCAUCGCUUGUUUGGCAGUUAUAACCUAUUUAUCAGUAAAUAAUUGGGAUUGCCUUGCAUCAAUGAUCAAUUAGGUGAACCAUUGUUGAAGUUACUUCUUGGUUAGAUCUUUAGUUAAUAUUACCUUGAUUUUGGUGAAUUGCCAUUUGAUUUUUAGUUGCCUACUUUAUUUUAUUUUUAAUUGUUUCCUUGCUUUAAUUGAGUUAGGCCUUUAAUUAUUGUUAUUCUAAGUUUAGUGAAUUGUGGUUUAAUUCCUAAUUAGUUAUUUAUUUUUACUUUCUUAUUUGAAUUUAUUUGCUUGUUAUCAUUCCUACGAAAUCACCCCCCUGUGUUACUUUGGAUUUCUUAAGAAACAAAUAUACCCAAUCCCUGUGGAUACGACCCUACUUGCUCUGUUCACGAAUUCAUAAUUAUUUGUGAAAAGAAAUAACCAUUCCACUCGGGUAUAUCGGAUCAAGCAAAUUCUUCGGGAACAGGGUGAAUCAAGUAACCCAAUGCACACCUAGAGUCCCUGCUCCAGUACUUGGAAUUGGGUUUUGGUCAUUUUAACUGGCAAUUAGGUUUAAUUUUAUUAUUGCACAGGCUGACGACCCUGUCAAUUUUUGGCGCCGUUGCCGGGGACUGGCGUUAUUAUUUGUUUCUUUUUAAAUUCAUUCUUUGUCCUAAUUUUCUGGUUUUCUUCUAGUGUAUGCCUCGAUCUUCUCGUACAGGUAAUUUGAUUUUUGACCCUGAGGUAGAGAAGACCGCAUGUAGAACGAGAAAGGAAACCAGACAGCUCAGAGAAGAGCACUCCAGUGCUACAUCUCAGAGACCCGAGUCAGAAGUUGAACUAACAGAUUCGUUUGGUAACACUUCGAGUGACUCUGACCAGGAGGAAGACACCAUGGCUAAUGCACGAACAUUAAGGGAGUUGGCUGCUCCUGAUUUAACUCAGCAGCCUUUAUGCAUUACUUUCCCCACUUUAAAUGAUAACAUUCCAUUUGAACUAAAAUCUGGUCUGAUUCAGCUUUUACCCUCUUUUCAUGGUUUACCAGGUGAAGAGCCGUAUAAGCAUCUGCAGGAGUUUGAUGUCGUGUGUAAUAGUAUGAAACCCUCGGGAAUCACAGAAGAGCAGAUAAAAAUGAGGGCAUUCCUCUUCUCCUUGAAAGAUUCUGCGAAGGACUGGCUGUACUACCUGUCACCAGGUAGCAUCACCACGUGGGACCAAUUGAAGAAAAAAUUUUUGGAUAAAUAUUUUCCUGCGUCCAGGGCUGCAAGUCUAAGGAAAGAAAUUUGUGGGAUCAAGCAGCAUCCAGGGAAGUCACUUUAUGAGUAUUGGGAACGGUAUAAGAACUUGUUGCGCAGGUGCCCCCAACACCAAAUAAGUGAGCAAUUGAUCAUACAGUAUUUUUAUGAGGGGCUCCUUUUUAGAGACAGGAGCAUCAUUGAUGCCAGGGGGGAGGGUUGGGAUGGGUGGUACGGGGGGAGGGAGUGUAAGCAAGAGGUCUCGGGUUCGAGUCCUCCCGCUUACACACAAAAAAAAAGAUGCUGCAAGUGGAGGGGCACUGGUAAACAAAACCCCUCAGGAAGCACGGGAGUUAAUAGAGGGGAUGGCAGAGAAUUCACAACAAUUCAGUACAAGAGAGGAUGUCCCAAUACGUAAGGUGAAUGAGGUAGAGACACCCUCUAUGCAGCAGCAGCUAACUGAGUUGACCGCGUUUGUUAGGCAACUGGCUGUGAGAAAUGCAUCACAAGCCAGGGUGUGCGGGAUUUGCACUGGUAUGGGUCAUUCUGCAGACAUGUGCCCAAUGAUUCAGGAAGAAACUGCAGAACAGGUGAACAUGGCUGACCACGCGCCCGCGCCAAGGAAGCAGUACGACCCUUACUCAAGCACCUACAACCCCGGGUGGAGAGAUCAUCCCAACCUCAGUUAUGGAGAAAAUAGGCAGCCCAACAUUACACCGAACAGGCAGUCUAACUUUGUGCCAAAUAGGCCACCAGGGUACCAGCAGCAAUAUCAACCCCGACCACCUCCGUCCCCAAGCUCUGGCCCAUCUUUGGAGGAGAUGAUGAAACAAAUGAUGACAACUAUGGCUCAAAAUCAGCAAAUGACGGAGGCAACCAUUAUGCAAAAUCAGCAAAGGACGGACUCCGAAAUGAAGGAUAUAAGGAAUCAGAUAAGUCAAAUGGUCACAACAAUCAACCGUUUGGAUUCCCAGAACCAAGGUAAAUUGCCAUUUCAGCCCGAAUUAAAUUCGAAGAACGUGAGCGCAAUGACCCUAAGGAGCGGGAAAGAAAUUCAGGGGUCUGAACCUGUGAUCCCUAAGGAUAAGGAUGAGGAAAAGAUCGAAAAUGAGCUUGAAAGGGAGGACAGCAAUGGUGCAGAUCUAAAGGUACUUCCUGACCCAAUAAUUACAGCUAAAACUAACCCGCCUCCUUUUCCUAGCAGGUUGGAAAAAUCGAAAAAAGAGGAUAAGGAGAAGGAGAUCUUGGAGGUUUUUCGCAAGGUUGAGAUAAAUAUCCCCCUCUUAGACGCAAUCAGACAAGUACCAAAAUAUGCCAAGUUCCUAAGGGACUUGUGUGUCAACCGAAGGCAGUUGAGGGAAGAUGAACGGGUUAUUGUUGGGGAGAAUGUGUCAGCAGUCCUGCAGAGAAAGCUCCCACCAAAGUGCGGGGACCCAGGUAUGUUUACUAUUCCCUGUAGGAUAGGUAAUACUGUGAUAGAAGGGCCAUGUUGGAUCUGGGAGCAUCAAUUAAUCUCAUACCUAAAUCUAUCUAUGCUUCUCUAAAAUUAGGUCCAUUAAAAGAAACUGGAAUAAUCAUUCAAUUAGUUGACCGAACUAAUGCAUAUCCUGAUGGGUUGGUUGAAGAUGUGUUGGUAAAAGUUAAUGAUUUGAUGUUUCCAGCUGAUUUUUAUGUACUUGAUAUGGAUGAUGAUCACUCCCCUGAUCCCUCACCUCUGUUAUUGGGUAGACCCUUUAUGAGCACAGCACAGACGAAAAUUGAUGUUAAUAAGGGUAUCUUGUUCAUGGAGUUUGAUGGGAAAAUUGUGCAUUUCAAUAUCUUUGAUACUAUGAAAUAUCCCUCAAACUCCAACUUUAGCACAGUUUUCUCUGUGAGUGCUAUUGACCCUGUAGUGCAGGAAGUGUUUGAAACUGAUGGCAGGGAUGAGUUGGAGGUGGCUUUGACCAAGCACCUCGAGUUGGAGACAACUCCUGAGGUGGAAUGGAGCGAGGACCUAAAAUGCACAAUAGGUGCAUUACACUCAUUGCAGUCCACCACGAAAAGGUAUGAAGUCUUACCUAUUUUUACUCCCGAACCUCACCAGAGGGUGUUGCCAUCUGUGGUGCAGGCACCUGUACUAGAAUUUAAACCUCUAUCAGAGCACCUGAAAUAUGCAUAUCUGGGUGAUAAUGAGACACUCCCGGUGAUUAUCUCAUCGACACUGUCAAAAAUCCAGGAGGAGAAACUGAUCCGGGUCCUUAGAGAGCAUAAAGAGGCGAUAGGUUGGACAAUCGCAGAUAUUAAGGGGAUCAGCUCGGCCAUCUGUAUGCACCGGAUUAGACUAGAAGAGGAUGCCAAACCUGUUAGGCAGGCUCAAAGGAGGCUCAACCCCCUAAUGAUGGAAGUUGUAAAGAAAGAAAUUUUAAAAUUGCUAGAUGUGGGGAUUAUUUUUGCAAUAUCAGAUAGCCCUUGGGUAAGCCCGAUCCAGGUAGUCCCAAAGAAGGCAGGGGUGACGGUGGAGGCAAACCAAACGGGUGAGCUCGUGCCAGUGCGCAAACCCACUGGAUGGAGGCAGUGUAUAGACUACCGUAGGCUAAACGCCGUCACCAAAAAGGACCAUUUCCCUCUCCCUUUCAUUGACCAAAUGGUUGAACGUUUAGCUUGUAGAGCUUAUUAUUGCUUUUUGGAUGGAUUUUCAGGAUACUUUCAGAUAGCAAUUGCUCCAGAGGAUCAAGAGAAGACAACCUUCACGUGCCCGUUCGGGACCUUUGCUUAUAGACGAAUGCCAUUUGCGUUGUGCAAUGCACCUGCAACAUUCCAGAGGUGUAUGGUAAGUAUUUUUUCUGAAUAUGUGGAGAAAAUUAUUGAAGUUUUCAUGGACGAUUUCAGUGUGUAUGGUGAUAGUUUUGAUACGUGUUUAGAUAAUCUGAAAUUGAUCCUGAUAAGGUGUAUAGAGACUAAUCUUGUGCUUAAUUGGGAAAAAUGUCAUUUUAUGGUUGAGCACGGGAUAGUCCUGGGUCAUAUUGUAUCGUCUAAGGGCAUAGAAGUUGACAAGGCUAAAAUAGAUAUUAUUUUUGCAUUACCUUACCUCGCGAGUGUGCGGAAGGUGCGUUCUUUUCUUGGACAUGCAGGUUUUUAUCGAAUGUUCAUCAAGGAUUUUUCAAAAAUUGGAGCCCCGUUAUUCCAACUCCUACAAAAGGAUGUGACCUUCGAAUUCGAUGAUAAGUGUGAGGAAGCCUUCAACAAGUUGAAAGAAUUGUUGACCUCACCCCCAAUUAUCCAGCCCCCUGAUUGGAGUCUACCAUUUGAGAUCAUGUGCGAUGCCAGUGAUCAUGCCGUAGGGGCUGUAUUGGGGCAAAGAGUAGGGAAGGCAGCUCACGUCAUCUACUAUGCAUCCCGAGCAUUGAAUGGAGCCCAAUUGAAUUACUCCACUACUGAAAAGAAGCUUCUUGCAGUUAUUUUUGCUUUAGAAAAAUUCAGGUCAUAUUUGCUAGGUGCUAAAGUAAUUGUAUUUUCUGACCAUGCAGCAUUAAGGUACCUAAUGACCAAGAAAGAUGCCAAACUGAGGCUCAUUAGGUGGAUAUUGCUACUGCAGGAAUUUGACCUGGAGAUACGGGAUAAAAGGGGCUCAGAGAAUUUAGUAGCUGACCAUCUGAGUCGUAUACCCGUUGGAGAGGAUAAUGAACCAUUGAGGGAUGCGUUCCCUGAAGAGCACUUAUUUUCUUUAAAUUCUCAGUUGCCUUUGUAUGCCGAUCUGGUCAAUUAUUUGGUAACUGGUAAUUUUCCUGCAGGUUGACCAAAAUCGAAGAGGGAUAAAUUGAAGAGCGACGCCAAGUAUUUUAUUUGGGACGACCCGUACCUAUGGAAGAGGUGUGCAGAUCAAGUGAUGCGGAGAUGUGUAAGUGAAAUGGAAUUUCAAUCGAUUUUAGCUUUUUGUCAUACUUUUGCCUGUGGAGGUCAUUUGGACCCAAGAGAACUGCUCAUAAGGUUUUAGAAAGUGGAUUUUAUUGGCCUUCAUUGUUUAAGGAUGCCUAUGUGUUUUGUAAGUCAUGUGAUCGCUGUCAAAGGGUAGGUAAUAUACCCCGUAGAGAUCAAAUGCCCCAAGUCCCGUUGAUUUUUAUUGAAAUUUUUGAUGUCUGGGGUAUAGAUUUCAUGGGGUCUUUUCCUACUUCAUUUGGUUUUUUAUAUAUUUUGCUGGCAGUUGAUUAUGUGUCUAAAUGGGUGGAGGCUAAGGCCACUCGAACUAAUGACUCGAAAGUAGUUGCAAAUUUUGUCAGGUCUAAUAUUUUUGUGCGAUUUGGAAUGCCUAGUGCUAUUGUCAGUGAUAGGGGAACGCACUUUUGCAACAAAAUCAUAGCUGCGUUGUUUCGCAAGUAUGGUGUACUCCAAUGGGUCUCAACGUCGUACCACCCUCAGACCAAUGGUCAAGCGGAGGUGUCGAAUCGAGAGAUCAAGUCUAUCUUGGAGAAAAUGGUGCGCCCCGAUAGGAAAGACUCGAGUCAAAGGCUGGAGGACGCACUUUGGGCCUAUCGGACGGCGUACAAGACUCCUAUAGGGAUGUCACCGUACAGGUUGGUAUUUGGGAAGCCGUGUCACCUUCCAGUGGAGUUUGAGCACAAAGCUUUUUGGGCGAUAAAGUAAUGCAACAUGAAUUUAGAGGAAGCCGGUGCCCAACGAAAGUUGGAUUUGCAAGAAUUAGAAGAGAUCCGGAACGAGGCUUACGAAAAUGCACUAAUUUAUAAGGAGAGAAGCCGGAUAUUUCAUGAUCAACAAAUUUCAAGAAAAUCCUUUGAAGUUGGUCAGAAGGUCCUACUAUACCAAUCCAGGCUCAAGCUAUUCCCAGGUAAACUACGUUCCCGUUGGAUUGGACCUUUUCUUGUUACUCAUGUUUUUCCAUAUGGUGCAGUUGAAAUCCGGAGCGCUAAAACAGACAACAAAUUUGUGGUGAAUGGACACCGUCUCAAGCAUUACUACGAAGGAUUUUCAGGUGAAAAGGUGGAGACAAUAAGUCUAGACGCGCCACCGUGUCCUAAUCAGUGACAUUUUACUAUGUCUAGCCAAAGACAUUAAAGACAGGCGCUCAUUGGGAGGCAACCCAAUUGUCCCUUUUAAUUAUUUGUUUGAUUUCGUGUGAUAGUUUAAAUAUGUUUUCCUUGAAUUCGACUGAUUUUGGGUUUCAGUUUUCGUUUUUGCUGAAUUGUAGGUGACCUUCAGUCUUGACGCGCCCGCGUGAUGACAUGCAGGAAGCUCACGAUCAGAAUCGUCUGAAAGCUCUCUUGCCCUUUUGACGCACCCGCGUGAUGACGUGCAGGAAGCUCACGAUCAGAAUCGUCUGAAAGCUCUCUUGCCCUCUUGACGUGCCCGCGUCACGUUCGCAGGAAAGGUACGGGUUUCAAAAAUUUAAAGAAAAAAUAAUAAUAAUAAUAAUUUAAAAUUUUGAAAUUAACUUCCGUAAAAAAAAAAAAGAAGAAAAAAAAUUUCACCGUGGCUUAAAUAGAGCCUAAAGAAGAGAAAAAAGAAACAAUUUCUUUCUUUUUUUUUUCUUUUUCUUCUUUCUUCCUUCUUUCUUUCUUUCUUCUUUCUCUUUUCCCUCUCUCUUCUCCCCUGUUUCUUCUCCCCUGUCCGUCGCCCGUGCGCCCCAUCGCUGCUCCACCUCCACACGCACGCCGACGCUGCGAGCCACCUGCGACCCCAGCGCCAGAUCUGGACCAUCGCCGAAACCCGCAGCCUCCGCCACCUCCACCUGAGCUCUGCCUCGCGCGCAACCCAGCUGCUCUGCGCCCGAAGCUCCACCGCCGCCACAGCCUCCCCACGCAGCUCCCUGCUCACGCGGCCACAAGCCCAUUGGAAACGGGACAGAGACUGCCGCCGAGCCACUUGCCCGCGUGACCGCCGCUGUUUUCCACCACCUCCCUCACGCGAGCUCUUUCCCUCUCAGCAGCAAUCCACUUCACAGCGCACCCGCUGCGCGCCGUCGCAGCCCUCGCAGCUCCAGCCCGUCUGGUCUAGUCCGCCGCGCGCACCAACCACCCACGGACGCUACCCCCAUCGCUAACCCACGCGGCCUCCACUCCAGUCUGUCCGCCGCCGCUGCUCGUGUCUCCCUUGCGCACCUCACGCCACCCGCUACUGUCCCCUUCCGUUUGGUUAGCAUCCACGGUGGAGGUAAUUGGAGGUUAUUUUCUCAAUUGUGUGACUUCCGCCUGUGAUACUGGUUGCAUUAUUUUUGCUGGGAAUUGCUACUUCUUUUGGGUUGGGUUCAACUGUGCAAUUAAUUGGCCAACUGGAGCCAUUUGUUGGGAUUUUGGGUGAGCUGAAAUACUGCAUUUGUGUGUUACAUUGGGAGGUUUAUUGGGUACAUUCUAACCGCUGUUUUCCAUUGUUACUCUCGCUGGGGUGUCUAUUAAAUUGCGAUUGAAGUAUUUUGGAUAUUGCAUGUUGAGAUUGAGGUUUCAUUGAAUUUGGCCUACGUUCUGCCCCCAGUGGUACUGGUGGGAAUAUUUUCAAUUGAAUUUGUUACCUCUAGUUGGUUGGCUACAUUAUUAUGGUCGAAUUCCUAAGUUGUCGUCAUUGCAUUUGUUGAUCUUGAUUUGGGGCAUUAACCGGCCAACUGGAGCCAUCUGUGCGUUUUUAGGCGCUAUUAUUGGUUUCUUCUCCCUUAACUUUGUCAACUAUAUUUGGUUGGGUAUUUGGUUGACUGCCACGGACUUGUAACUGUGUUUUGCUUCUAAUUGACCAGUUGCACAGCAGUUUUUUUUUAAUUGAUAGGGUGGUUAUACCUCUGGAUAUUUGUAUCCACUGGUUUGAGGACAUGGUGAGACCAAAAUCCUCCUCUAGGUCUAGGACCCCUAGAACCUCGCAAUCCCAACCCCAAGCCUCUACUCUAGUCAAUACCCCUAUAAAUCAACCUACUGCUCCCGGUGUCCGAACCUGGUUAGGUAGGGGUAGAGGUGCCCACGUGGCUUCCGCCACUCACUUGGGAGGGCAUUUGGAAUUCACUAGAGCCGCCGAUCAGCGACGCUAUGCUCAAGCUUGUGAGCGGCGUAUCAUUCCGUGCAAAUGCGCGGACCACAUUACUAUGGUUUUUCUGGGGAUCCAAGGGGAGGUUGAGCGCAUGUACACCGCCAUUGGAUGGCGCCCCUAUCUGGAUAUUUUCCAGCCAGCCUUUGUCGAGUUGACUAGAGAGUUUUACACCACUUUUAAGUUUGAAUUACCGACUAGGUAUACUGUUGCGACUCCCGAUAUCAUUCACUUCCGUCUCAUGGGCCAGGAAUUCAAUUUCUCUAUCACCCAGUUCAAUCUGGCUUUCGGUUUCAUCACUCGGGAGUAUGCAGAGACUAGGGAAUACGGUGAGAGUGCCUGCGAUUUUGUGGAACCUUUCCUUACCGCCUACCGUGAGGUGUGGGAGGACAUGUCUGUGGACAUGCAGCGUUACGAUCCCUCUCGGUCUCGGAGCUCCUUUCUAGAGGACCCGAGUGCUCGGUAUGUUCAGCGGCUUUUAGCAUAUAGCUACUCGGGCAGAAAGAACAGCUUCGGUAUUAUCUCUCGGCCGGAGCUCUUCUUCCUUUGGUGUAUGAAGAAUGGGUUCAAGGUCAAUUUGGGUUGUUGGUUGGCGGCACAGUUCAAGACCGUCAUGGCAAAGAAGAACAAGCCGUUGAUUCUUGGGUCGUAUAUCACGUACUUGGCGGUCCAGCUAGGCGUUCUGAAUCUACAGGAUCACGAUUUGCACUUGGCCUGCGACAUGGAGUAUCUCACUGCUGACCGGCUAGAGAAGAUGGGGGUUCUGGAGCUUGUCGAUGGCCACUACCGAUUUGUGCCCCCGGGACCGCCCCGCGCCCCGCCUCGCUCUUCCUCCACCCAUUCGGCCCCAGUUGGCGGUGAUCCUGGCCCGUCGACAUCCGCUCAGCUCCCUCCACCAGCAGGGGCUGAAGAUUGGCACCAAAUCAGGACGCAGAUUCAGAAUUUGGACGCCCGGAUGAUUAGCAUCGAGAGCAACGUGGCGGCUAUAUCACAGAAUCUGGCGGCAUUCCUGCAGCACUCGGGUUUCCCGCCCCCAAUCCCACCUCACCCUCCACUAUGACCCGGUUUCAGGGAAGUUUGGUUACUUUCUCCCUCACUUUUGUUGUUUUUUGACACAUUGAGGACAAUGUGUCCUAUAGGUGUGGGGGGGUCUAUAGUCUUUCUAGUUUUUAGUAGUUGUUAGUUUUUAGUUUUUUAGUAGUUUUAGUUUUAUUUCUAGUUGCGUAUUUUCUUUCUUUUCUUAGUGCUUAUUCCCCAUGUGAAAAGAAAAAGAAAACAAAAAAAAAGAGAAAAAAAUGUUGGUUUAUUGACUCUAACUCUACUUUUGCCAAGUUUUUUUUAAAUAAAAAUGUAUCGGGUUAAUGUGGUUGGAUCCAGAAUAUCUCCCUGGUGAAUAUCGGAUUGCUUGGCUCUUUUGAUUUCUGUGUUAAUUUCUCUAGGCAUAGGGAAUGACUGUUGGCAUUUUAAUGUGAACUGGUCCAAUAUUGACUCCAGUUCUCUAUGUUUGGCAAUAAUGAGGCGAGCUGUUCCUAUUUUUGGUUCUUAGUGUUGUUAUUAUGUGUUUUUGGCUUUGUUUGGCUGUGAAUAAUCUGGACUGUACUCCGCUAUGAGUUACUACUGAGUAACCGAGGAUCGGCACCUAAAAGUGUCGAUUCUCGCGUCAAAAGGUGGUACUUUAUAUGAGUACGUGGUCGUAUAGCAGUAGGAGCUGAGUAACCGGGCUCCUUCAUCUAAAAAUGUUGGAGUUCGCGUCAAAAGGCCCCGACGGCUAACGACUAAGUCUUUUUGUGUUAAUUAUUAUUGCUUUGAAAAACAAAAAAAAAAAAGAACGAAAAAAGAGAGAAUAAAUAAUAGGAAGGCUUGCCGGUUUAUGGACUUAAUAUGGAGACUUGUGUGAAUAUUUGGACCAUUAGCUAAUAAAUGUUGUGCGCCAUUCCCUUUUCUUAGAGUAGUUAACCUGGAAAUUGAAGGAAUUUGCAGUUUAGGGGCUAACCGGGGGGGAGGCUUCUUGGAUUUUAAUCACCAAUGCUCGAUAUAUGUUUUUCUCUUGAAGAUCUUGGCAAUAUAGGAGAUUGGACAAUGGCCAUCAUCGAAUUUUGGUGUUCGUUUACUAUUCUUAUGCUUGAGGACAAGCAUGGUUUAGGUGUAGGGGGAAUUGAUAGGGUGUAAUUUUACUAUUUAUUUUAUUAUUAAUUUCUCCUAUCACCUGACCUGAUGUGGAUUAAUUGCUGGAUUCUGCUCACUUUUAGUACUUUGUAUUUAUUUCAGGGAGUAGAACGGAAAUUUGAUAACAGGUGCUAAUUUGGCAGAAAAAAGUCCAGAUGAUAGAGCUUGCCCCAAGGGCAUUUUUGGAAAGGAGAACUUGUGCCCAUCUUGGUAAUUUGGGAGAAAAGGGAAACAGACAAAAUGGGUCUAACAUGGAUUGGAAGCGGCCGCACAGUAGCAGGGAAGAGGGCAGACGUAAAAGCAAUUGCAGGGGGGAAAAGGAGUUUUUUUAGUUUUUAGCUUAGCAUCUGAUUUUCCCUGGGAGACUUUUGUUAAAGAUUUCCUUUUGGCUGAUAUUACGCAUGGCAGAUGGCUUUUAACUUAUUCCUCCAUCUUUGACUUUUCUUCUUUAGCUUGUAGUAGUGGAUUGCUACUUACGAAUGUCAGCACUUAGCCAUUCGUGGCUUUUGAUCUUUUCUUCCUUAGAAAUUCUGAGUAGCCUCUUUUCCUUUGUGCGCCAGACGAAGUGAAAACUAUAAACUUUUGUAGUGUUUCUAUUCAUUCAAUAUAUUGAGACGAGUUGGAUUCUACCAAAUUUCAAUGGACAUGGCCGCUGGUUUCUCUUCAAUUUUAUAUGGGCUUUGUUCAUCGAACAUGAACUAAUUUCACCACUCUAGUCAAGGAACAACGAAGACUCUGGUUCGCCUAAAAAUUGUGAGAUCGUUUUAAUUUAAUCUUUUCCUUUUAUUUAUUGGUAUCCGCACAUUUCUUGAUUGCUAUGCUUAUGGUUAUUUAAUUAAUUGAUUGUCUUGGAUCCAGAUAAUUAAUUGAUCUGAUAGCCUAUUGUCAAUUAGGGCAUUUAAAUCCGUAAUUGUUUAAUUGUCCUGAAAUAGUGACAACUGGCACGAUUAGAUUCGUGCCAGGGGGGAUAUGCGGGCUAAUCUAAAAUAACCCUGGUAGUGUGUUAUUUGGUUAGAAUAGGGCUCCUCUAAUAUGUAAGGCAAUUGGGGAAUUAAAUUCUACGGGCGUACCUAGAAUUAUUUCUUAAUUAGAGUAGUGAUUAACGGGCGUACCUUGAUCACCGACACAGUAAGGAGGGGUUGACUGCCAUCGCUUGUUUGGCAGUUAUAACAUAUUUAUCAGUAAAUAAUUGGGAUUGCCUUGCAUCAAUGAUCAAUUAGAUGAACUAUUGCUGAAGUUACUUCUUGGCUAGAUCUUUAGUUAAUAUUACCUUGAUUUUGGUGAAUUGCCAUUUGAUUUUUAGUUGCCUACUUUAUUUUAUUUUUAAUUGUUUCCUUGCUUUAAUUGAGUUAGGCCUUUAAUUAUUGUUAUUCUAAGUUUAGUGAAUUGUGGUUUAAUUCCUAAUUAGUUAUUUAUUUUUACUUUCUUAUUUGAAUUUAUUUGCUUGUUAUCAUUCCUACGAAAUCACCCCCCUGUGUUACUUUGGAUUUCUUAAGAAACAAAUAUACCCAGUCCCUGUGGAUACGACCCUACUUGCCCUGUCCACGAAUUCAUAAUUAUUUGUGAAAAGAAAUAACCAUUCCACUCGGGUAUAUCGGAUCAAGCAAACUCUUCGGGAACAGGGUGAAUCAAGUAACCCAUUGCACACCUAAAAUCCCUGCUCCAGUACUUGGAAUUGGGUUUUGGUCAUUUUAACUGGCAAUUAAGUUUAAUUUUAUUAUUGCACAGGCUGACGACCCUGUCAUUGUAUUUGUACCAAAAGUGAAAACUUAACUAUUUUAGUUGUAUUUAUUUCAUCAUGUUGGAUUGUAUUCAAAUAAUUUUUGUUUGAUUGUUUUUAUAAGUUUCAAUUGUAAAAUUAAAAUGAAUAAUAACUUGAUGAUGUGUUGAUAUUUUAGUACUUGAUUAUUUAUUAAAAUUUAAUUAUAAUAAAAUUUUAUUAACUCAACGAGAAAAAUUUUAUUAAUCCCGUGGGGGCACCCGCGGGGAAAGCGGGGCGGGGCGAGGGGAGUGGGAGGCGGAGGACGGGGCGGGGGCGGGGGAUGGGGGAGGGGUCCCCCGCCCCAACCCCGCCAUCCCCCGUCCCGUUGUCAUCCCUAGUAAUAGACUGGCAAGCAUUGUGGUGGUCAUUGAGCAACUUAUAGGAGAAAUAGUCCUAUAAGCUGUUCAAUGACCAAUCACAACUUGCUAAUUGGAUGACUAAUAUAGCUCUAGCUGUAAUGUUUUAAUUAAAUUACAUCACUAACGUUGGGAUGACUUUUUAACCAAAAAAAAAAAGCCUUAGUUCAAGCUUUUCCCUUUAUUGUGCAUUUUUUAAAGCAUUUGAAAGGCACUGCAAAUCUGUCAUUUUGGACAUUUUAUUAUUGACUAACAAUGAAAGCCGUGGACGUCUACCCAUAACCAACACAAGAUUAAAUUAAUAUUAGAAAAAAUAAUUGAGUAAUUGGAAAAAAAAAAAAAAGAAGAGUCUAAUUUUCAUUGAAACCCACCGACAAACUAUACGUGUCCAUGGCUUUUGAAUAGUGCAUUCAACGUUUAAUUGUAUGGUCCAGUUCAUUGCAGAUUACAUGGAGUAAAGAUUGCGCUCUUUCCUUUUCACCCCUUUUGGAAUCGAUACUGUGGAGAAUUGGGUUUUUCCCUCCUUUUUUUCUUUUCUUUCCUUCUGUGGUUUGCAAAACAUACGUAAAAAUAUGAAAUCCGAAGCAUUCUUUAAUUGGUAUUAAGUAUUGUUGUUGAAAUUAAAAAGAAAAAAGAAAGAACAACAAAAUUCCCAAUCUGGGUUGAUUGUUGAGCUCUAGAUUGGUUGCAUCGUGCUUCCAUAGAAGCAAGAUUUGUAAAAUCGGAAUCCUACAUAGGAUCGAUUUUAGUUUCACAGGAUCGGAUUGUAAAAUCGUAAGAUCCUACCAAAAGCUCUCAAUUGCAAUUAAAGGUUGCAAUUCUUUAAUAAAUUACAAAUAUACCACAAAUAUUUUCAUUUACUUGCAAAAUGGAGCUUCGUAUUUCACAAAUUUACAAAAAAAUUGUAGGAUCGUACGAUCCUACCGAUCCUACGAUCCUACACGAUCCUACCGAUCCUGCUACGAUUCUAUGCGAUCCUACAAAGAUUAAUAUGAUUUGCGACUCUGCAUACGAUCCGGAUCGAUUUUGGUUAUCCGGAUCGUAGGAUCGUAUGAUCCUACGAUCCGGAUCGCGAUUUUGACAACUAUGCAUAGAAGCUCUCUUAGUGUGAUACACUGCUUUCAAUCAGUUUAACACGGGAAAAAAAAAAAGAGAUGAAAAGCAAAUUUGGUGGAGAUAAUUUCAGAAACCUCCCCUGAAGAUUUUGACUAUUCUACUGGUUUCCCUUCAGAUUUUAAAAAUUACACUAAUCUUCCUUGAAGUUAAUUAUCUUGUAACAUUUAAAUUCAAUCAAUAAUUUAAAAAAUGAUAUUAUGAGAGAGAAAAUAAUAUGAUUUUAUCAUUGCCCCCCAUCUUACUACAUUAUUUAAUUAAUUUAAUAGCAACCCACACAUUAAAGAAAAAUAUUAAAAUUUGUUGUUUAUCAUUAAAGAUCAAAUCGCUUAUAACAUCAAAUAAUAGUAUAUUAUUUAUAUUUUUCACUUAAUAUAAUAUCCAAAUUACUCUUUUCAAUUACAUACCCAUUGUUAGAGAAUCAACAACAAAUAACCAAAAAAUUUGCAACCAAAAUAUUACAAAAAAAAUAAACUUUAACAUCAUAAAUAUUCUUAUCAACAUAUUAAAGUUAGUUACUGAAAUUUUUAUGCUGUUAAACUUCACUCUUUUUGAAUACAGAUUUUUUUGAUUAUUUGUUAUUAAUUAUGUUUGAUGAUGGGUUUAUAAUUGAAAAGAACAAUUUGAAACUUACAUUAAGUAAAAUAUAUAGAGUGAUAUACUAUUUUUUAUAACAUAUGUGAUUCAAUCCUUCUUGAUAGGAUUGGUAAUAGAGGUAGAGGGGGGAGUCGGCUGCAUCCGGUCUUCUUUUCAUAGAUAGUACAAUAUUGCGAAAUCAAUCGCAUUCACACAAUAAUAUUUCGAAGUCAAUGCAUGGCUAAGUUGCAUAAAAGUACGAACACUUGUUAUUAUAUAGCUUAAGAUUCAAAACUUUCGAGCAUAACCCUCCACCCAACACAAUUGAAUAAUGAAUAUUCACGAUUGUCAAAUCUGUCAAAGCACAGUUUGAGGACAACCCAUUCCAACCUGCAAAAGAUUUUUUACUUUUCUAAAGUUGUUGAGAGCUGUAAAAAGACUUACCAUGCUUGCAUCCUCCGAGCCUUGGGAGUUAAAAAUGAAGGCACUGAGUGCUAUAAAAAGGGGAAUAGAGGCUGCCUAGAAGCAUAUCAGCCUAAAACAAGAAUUUGUAGUUAAGAUGGGAAGCAAAGCAAAAGCAAUGGGGUCUGGGCUGACUCCUCUUCUUGCCACUGUUUUAGUGGUGUUUGUUGCUCUUGGCUUGCCCUCACAAACUGCAGCUGAUGAUCACUACAAGUAUUCAUCUCCUCCUCCUCCUUACCACUAUCCCUCACCACCACCACCAGUGCAUAUACCUCCACCUCAUCCUGUUUACAAGUACAAAUCUCCACCACCCCCACCACCACACCCAGUUUACAAGUAUAAGUCACCACCACCACCUCCUCAUCCGGUAUACAAGUAUAAGUCUCCUCCGCCACCACCACACCCAGUUUACAAGUACAAGUCACCACCACCACCUCCUCAUCCGGUACCACACCCAGUUUACAAGUAUAAGUCACCUCCACCACCUCCUCAUCCGGUACCCACAGUUUACAAGUAUAAGUCACCACCACCACCUCCUCAUCCGGUAUACAAGUAUAAGUCUCCUCCGCCACCACCACACCCAGUUUACAAGUAUAAGUCACCACCACCACCUCCUCAUCCGGUGCCACACCCAGUUUACCACUACAAGUCACCACCACCACCUCCUCAUCCGGUACCACACCCAGUUUACCACUACAAGUCACCACCACCUCCUCACCCAGUUUACAAAUACGAGUCUCCACCACCACCAGUUUAUAAGUACAAGUCACCACCACCUCCUCCACCAGUUUACAAGUAUAAAUCUCCUCCACCACCACCACCAGUUUACCACUACAAGUCUCCACCACCUCCUCCCCCAGUUUACAAAUACAAGUCUCCACCACCUCCUCACCACUACUAAGCAAUUGCUUCUGAGGUAAUAACACUUGUUCAAUAUACCCACUUCUGCAUGAUAAAGCAUAUCUCUAUCAACACAAACUGUCAUGUCUAUCAUGCUAAGUGCCUUCACUUCAUCCACCAAAAUGACUGCUAGAAAAUUUUUUUUAUGUUACCAAAGAAAGGCAUCAUUUUUUCCCUCUGUUAUCAAGAACUUGUACAGUAUAUAGAUUAAAGAGUAUUUUUUUAACUAGCUUAUCAACUGAGAAAUGCAUAUAGCUGAUAGCCAGCUGAAUAUUUGCAGGCAAAGGAGAAGGAAACCAUGUUUGAGACCUUCUUGAAGAUGUAGAAGCAUAAGAAUAAAAGCCCAAUGUGAAGAUGAUGAUUUCAAGUUUUUCUACGUUACCAUUUCUUUAUCUAAAUUGGUUGUAGCGCCCAAGUUCCUUUGUUUAUGGGAUUUGUAUCGUUUUACGUACCAUGCAGUACAUGUCAUGUUUGUAAGGUUUUCUAUCCUGCCGGCAAACCGCAGGUUCCAUGUGAUAAAUGAAUACUAUUUAUGUUACGACACUUUUCUCUGUUUCUCUUAUAUUUUGUCUUUAAUAUUCUUAAUCAUAUUUUUAACAAAAAUAUUCAAACACUUAGGCAAUCUGGUCUAAUGCUAAUUGUAUGUUUUACUUUUCUUUUUCACCUGCUCCCCUUUUCAACUCAAAAGGAUGCAAUAGUUUGUGAUCACUGUUUAAGACGGAAGCAUGAUACUAAUGAAUAUCUCAUUGAAACUCAAGGAAACUAACAUUGCGAAAAGUGUAAAUCUUGAUUUGAUGCAACUAUUUAUUCGUGGAAUCUAUAGUUACAAAACUCAAAUUCUGACUGCGCCAUUGAUAAAUUAUUAAUGACGCUAUCAUCAUUAUUUAUCCCUAACUAGUUUCGACUACAACUGAACCCAAUAUUUUCCCCAUGAUAAAAGUUUUUGACUAUUUUACUGGCCUCUCUUCAAAUUUUAAAAAUUACACUAAUCUUCAUUGAGAUUAAUUAUCUUGUAACAUUUAAGUCCAAUUAAUAAUUAAAAAAUGAUAUUAUGAGAGAGAAAAUAAUAUAAUUUUAUCAUUGCCCCCCAUCUUGCUAUAUUAUUUAAUUAAUUUAAUAGCAACCCACACAUUAAAGAAAAAUACUAAAAUUUGCUGCUUUUCAUUAAAGAUCAAAUUGCAUAUGCCAUAAAACAUAGUAUAUCAUUCUAUAUGUUUCACUUAAUGUAAGAUCCCAAUUGUUCUUUUCAAUUACAAACCCAUUGUCAAACAUGAUCAAUAACAAAUAAUCAAAAAAUUUGCAACCAAAAUAUUACAAAAAAAAACUUUAACAUCAUAAAUAUUCUUACCACCUCUAGUGCAUUCACCCUCAUAAAAUAAUUCAAGACCCUACUGUCAUAAAAUGACUGAUCAACUCCUGUAAACCUAAUUUGACAACAUUUAAAUGGAGAACUUUAGCUAAAAGAAUUAUGGUCAAGCUAAAGAAAAAACCAGUUAUUUUCCAACAUAUGCAACCAUUGAUCAGGGGAAAAAAAAAAGCAAAAAGACAUCUUCAAUCAUUUAAUAGCUUACAGGGCAAAUUAACCCUUGAGUGAAAACUGGUUGCUCUAGAAUUAAAAUUUUACCUUAGUUACCCAGGCAACUUUUUUGUUGCCUUUUCUUUUUCUUUUUUGGGUAUAUAGCUCCAGUUUUGCCCCCUCUGUCAAGCUUAUAUAAUUAUUAAGAUAAUAAAAGUGCCUUUAAUAGUAUUAAUAUAUCCAUUGACUUGAGCUGUCAUCGAUCGGUUUGGGCUACUUCGAUUCCAUGAGAACAAAUGGUAAUAAAAGUACUCAGAAAAUGGGGAGUCAUGAAACCCUUUUGUUCUAUUCAUUGCUAAGAUGCUUUUCUCUAUAAAGAGACUUCCUAACGAAAAUACUUUGUAGAUUUCUUUACUCCAAGUGGUGCAUGGAAAAUUAAUAUUUUCAAUUAUCAAAUAAAAUUCCCUUUUUUCGGCGUAGAUUUCAUCCAUCCAGCUGUUAACACAUUCUAUAAAUCCGAAUUGACUAAUCUUUUCGUUUCCAUUUUCCAACUUGCGAAUACGGCAUAUAGUGUCUGCUAAACACUAUAUAUUCUCUGCCAAAUAUGAAUACAUAUCACUUUUCUGAGCAAGUGCAGAGUCAUUAUCAUUUUUAUUCCCACCUAACAAAUUAGGGAUAAAAAAGUUAAUAAUCUUUACAUGCUAUCAGGUCACAAGUUAAUAAUCUUUUAAAGAACAUGUUAAAUUAAUUUAUUGGUAUGAAUAGUAGUCAAAGAAGUAUGUUAAAGUUAGUAAUCUUUAAAAUAAUAUGUUAAAAUCAUUCGUACAAAUUAGUCAGAGAAGUAGCAUAAACACCGCGAUGCAAUUAAUACUUUCAAUCUCAAGGUCUCUAUUAUGGAAAUUUGCAUCGGUCAAUAUACACUUGGCAUAAUAUAAUCUCCCAACUCAUUUCUUUACAAAUGCACCUUUAAUCACCACCAAAAGGUGUGGACAUGAUCUUUACCCUAGAAAACUAUUCACCGACAGGCAAAUUGACGUCAGAAAUACUGAGGAAUUCUAGUUUCCUUCGGGUUCAUGCCAUGUUGUAUCCUUCAACUGUAACUCGAUUUCUAAGCUGUAAUUUGUGACAUAAUAGUCCUUAAACUAUGAAACCCUUCUUACUUAAUUACAAUGGUUAAUACAAUGCCCGUGACUAGACAAGUAUGAAGCAACCAUAACAGAAAAAAAAUCCAAAAUUAGAGAAAAGAAAGAAGUUUCGCGACCACCACCAGUUUACAAGUCACCUCCACCACCUCCUCCAGUUUACAAGUCACCUCCACCACCUUACCAUUAUUCCUCACCACCACCUCCAGUGCAUUCACCCCCACCACCACCAGUUUACAAGUCUCCGCCACCACCUUACCAUUAUUCCUCACCACCACCUCCUGUGCAUGCACCUCCACCACCAAUUUACAAGUCACCUCCUCCAGUUUACAAGUCUCCACCACCACCUUACGAUUAUUCCUCACCACCACCUCCAGUGCAUUCACCCCCACCACCACCAAUUUAUAAGUCUCCCCCACCGCCUCCCCCAGUAUAUAAGUCACCACCACCACCUCCUCCAGUAUACAAAUCACCUCCACCACCUCCUCCAGUUGACAAAUCUCCACCACCACCAAUUUAUAAAUACAAGUCUCCUCCACUACCUCCUCCAGUGUACAAGUCAUCACCACCACCUGCUUACAAGUCUCCACCUCCUCCAGUUUACAGUUCCCCACCACCACCAAUCUACAAGUCUCCACCUCCACCCUACCAUUACUACUACAAUUCUCCUCCUCCUCCUCGUCACUACUAAGCAAUUGUAUCCAAGUUUUUGAGGUAAUAACGCUUAACCAAUAAAUUAACUUUCGCAUGAUAAACCUUAUCUCUAUCAAGACAAACUGCCAUGUGUAUCAUGCCAAAUACGUACACCUAGAUCCAUGAAAAUGAAUGGUAGAAAGUUUUCUUAAGAACCAAGAACAGCAUUAGUAUUCCCUCUGCUUCCAAAAACUUGUGUAUUAAAUAGAUUAAUGAAUUGUUUAACAUGCUCAUCUACUUGAAAAUGCACAAUACCCAUAACCCACUGAAAUUUUUGCAGGAAAAGGGAAAGAGAAUCUGUGUUUGAGAGCUUCAUGAAGAUGUUGAAGAAUAAGAAUAAAAGCCCAAUGCAAGGAUGUUUUCAAGUUUUUCUAUGUUUCCACUUUAAUUUGUAAAUUGAAUUUUGCGACUCAAUUAAUUCCCUGUUUGUGAGGUACGUAUUGUUUUACGUACCAUGCCGUACAUUUUUUUUUUCCAACAAACGGUAUCAUGUUAUAGAUAUUAACACUUGACCUUACAAGGAUUAGUUACAAAAAGGGGAUACUACCCUCAACUCUGUCCUAGCUAAAUCAGUCAGCCAUAUUGGGAAAUUAGUUUCCCAUUCAAUAUCAUGUACAAGCUUCACAGCAUAUUGUGCUAAUUGAUGGCUGAUGUGAUUUUCAGUUCUAGGUAUAAACACAAAAGAACAUUUUUCAAAAGCUAGACUAAGUUCCUGCACAUCUUCUAAGAUAGUUGCAGUCGUGUAGUCAUACUCCUUGCGUUUAGUAAUCUGCUCUACCACUGAUUUGCAGUCUGUAUGGACUAUAAUUUGUGUCCAACCUGCUUGGGUAGCCAUCAGCAGAGCAUUUCUCACAGCCCGAGCUUCCACUUCACUUGCCGAUCCCUUUCCCUGUGUGACAAUUCCUUUUGCUUUCAAAAGCUGUCCUUUCCAAUUUCUUGCUAUAAUCCCUUGUCCGGUCCUGACUCGUUUAGCUGAUAUCGCUGCAUCGGUAUACAGCCUUAUCUCUUCCUUCCUUGGCCGCACUCUCCUGGUAGGUAAGGCAUCAUUCAGCUUCCCUGCGAUCUCCUUCUGGUCUGUACUCCCUACCUGUUCAAACUCAAGCCAUUCCUCCUGUGCUUUCCUUACUAUUUUUACUGGAUCCUGGUUGGCUUGUUCAAAAAAUUUUUUGUUCCUGGCUUUCCAAAUUUGCCAAAGGAUAUUGAUAGUAAGACUAACUCUCUCCUGACCUUGGUUCAGUGCCAGCGAUUGUGUGACUUGUUCCCACCAUAACCAAAAGUUAUAUUGCAUACCCAGUAAUCCAUCCCACCUGACCGGUGCUAGCUUCCACGUUUCCACAGCCUUUUCACAGAAGAAAAACAAAUGCUCAAUAGUUUCCAUAUCUUCACCACAGCAACCACAUCUGCCUUCCCCUCUAUGUAGCCUUUUCGACAUCUGUUCAUUGACUGGCAGACAAUUUUGUAAGCACUUCCACAUGAAGUGUUUUAGUUUGGCCUUCACCUUCAAAUGCCAUAGCUGCUUCCACACAUUUCGUUUUCGUAUCUCCCAACUUGUUUCUGCCUCUUGGCCUGUCCUUGUACCUGCUUUUCCUUCCCGUUGCCUUGCUAAAGCAUAACCAGAUUUCACGCUAUAAAUUCCAGCUUUGGAAUGCCCCCAUACCAACCUAUCCUUUCUUCUUCCUAUACUUGUUGGAAUUCCCUUUAUGUGCUCUGCAUCUUUUGCACAAAACCACUUGAGAAGCAAAUCAUUUUUCCAUUUCCCUUCCUCUAUCAGCUCACUUACCCAUUCCAACUUGCAUCCCACAGGUUGUGUGGUUGAUGCAAAGCCGGUAUCUGAACCAACUAUCCAUCUGUCCCGCCACAUGUUGACUGACUUGCCAUCUCCAAUUCUUUUCCAAAGACCAUCAUACAGAAAGGAGGCUGCACUAUGAAUACUCUUCCAACACCAUGAGGCUGAAGAGACUGGCUUCUUGUCCAUCCAUUUUUCAUCACUCAUAUACUUCGCCUUCAUUACCUUACUUACUAACAAAUUUGGAGCCAUUAAGAAUCUCCAAAUUUGUUUUGCCAGUAAUGCUGUGUUGAAGGCCUCCAAAUCUCUAAAGCCUAAACCUCCUCUUCCCUUAACUUCUAAGAGCUUCUUCCAGCUUGCCCAAUGUACACAGGUACCCUUUUCUCCCUUCCCCCACCAGAAACUCGCUAUUUUACCUGUGAUUUGUCUACACAAACCCCUUGGAAGUCUAAAGCAAGCCAUCACAUAUGUUGGCAUAGCCAUAAUCACUGAUUUGACCAGAAUUUCUUUCCCUCCUUGGCUCAACAGUUUUUGUUUCCAACCUUGCAACUUGUUACUAAUUUUGUUCUGGACAAAUGCAAAGACCUGUGUCUUUGAUCUUCCAAUUGCCAUUGGGAGUCCUAGGUAGGUUCCAUUCCUUGCCUCUUUAAUGUUAUCUAAUACCUCCCUCACUCCAUUCUUCCUUUGAUCAGUGGUAUUUUUGCUAUAGAAGAUAGCUGACUUUUCAAAAUUCACCACCUGUCCGGAUGCUUGACCAUAUCUUUCCAAUAUGCUUUUGACCUUCCUCGCCUCCUGCUUGGUUGCUUGGCAGCAUAGUAGAGAAUCAUCUGCAAAAAAUAGGUGAGAAACCAUCGGACUGUCCUUGCAUAUUUUGAUCCCUGUAAUUUCCUUGUUCAUCAUAGCUUUAUGGAUCAAACAUGAAAGACCUUCAGCGCAUAUAAUAAACAAGUACGGGGAUAGGGGGUCUCCUUGUCUAAGCCCUCUACUCGGUUGAACACAGCCUACCUUUUGCCCAUUUAAGUUGAAGGAGUAAGUCACAGUAGAUAGGCAAGACAUGAUCCAUUUAACAAAAAUUGGACAAAACCCCAUUUUCAUCAUAACUCUCCCCACAUAUUUCCAUUCGACUCUAUCGUAAGCUUUGGACAUGUCCAGUUUAAGAGCCAUAAAUCCUACCCUUCCCUUUCUCCUAUUUUUCAAAAAAUGCAGGAUUUCAUGUGCAACUACUACAUUAUCAAGAAUUUGACGGCCUGGGAUAAAAGCGGAUUGAGAGGGACUAAUACAAUGAUGCAAGACACCUUUCAAUCUAUUAGCUAUGAUUUUAGAAAUGAUUUUAUACAGGACAUUGCACAAGCUAAUAGGUCUAAAAUGCACCACAGAUUCAGGAGUAUCAACUUUAGGAAUCAACGAAAUAAUAGUAUCAUUCACAGCUUUGAGCAAAUGCCCAGUAUGAAAGAAACUCUUAAUAGCUGCUACCACAUCAUCCUUGAUAAUAUCCCAAUAGUGUUGAAAAAAUAGAGGAGACAUACCAUCCGUUCCUGGUGCUUUAUUAGGGUGCAUCGAGAACAAAGCUUUCCUGAUCUCACUUUCCUCCACUUGUCGUAUCAGUUGUCCAUUCAUAUGACUCGAAAUAGUGCUUGGAAUUUCAGCUAGAAUGUCCUCAAAGCAGUCCGGGUUAGUAGUGGUAAAAAGGUCUUUAUAGUACUCACAAAGUUCCUCCUCAAUCUCAUGUUCCUCCUUGCACCAUGUCCCAUCUUUUUUCUGCAAUAUAGUGAUCUUAUUUCUCCUCCUCUUUGCCAUGACCGAAGAAUGGAAAAAAGCUGUAUUCUUGUCCCCUUCUUUGAGCCACUUGUUCCUGGAUUUUUGACUCCAAAACAUCUCUUCCUCUGCAUAAGCUUUAUUCAAUUGUGCUUUUAGUUCAGCCACUUGUACUCUUUUCCCUUCAUCCUUUCUUGCUUUCACUUCAGCCAAUUUCUCCUUUAACACUUUAAUUCUAACCUUUGAGUUUCCCUGCACCUUUUUCCUCCAAUCCAGAAUAGCCAUGCGACAUUCCUUUAUUUUUGUAGCCACUCUAAACAUCCUGGACCCUGACUUCACCUUUGUCCAUGCUCCUUGAAUCACCCUUUUUGCUUCUGGAUUUAGCGUCCAUCGUUGAUCAAAGUAAAAUCUCCGUUUUCUCCUUGUGUUUUCCGGGUUUGUAUCCACAAGAAGCAUUAGAUGAUCAGAGGCUUCAGUAUCUAAAUGAGUACACUGUGCCUUUUCAAAUCUUUGCAGCCAUUCGGUGCUGCAUAAACAUCUAUCCAACCUCUCUUUCACUUCCCCAUCCCCCUCCCAACUAUUGCACCAAAUCCACGGGACCCCUUGAUAACCUAAGUCAACCAGGUUAUUGUCUUUGAUAAACCUGUUGAACUCCCUAAAACAUCUUUCAGCUCUAUCCCUUCCUCCCCACUUCUCCUCACUAGACCUCAAAUCAUUAAAAUCUCCUACAAUGAUCCAGCCAUCCCCCCAGUCCCUCAUCCUGUCCUCUAAAUAUUUCCAUUGUGCUUUUCUAAUGUUACUAUCUGUGCUUGCAUAAACACACACUAGCCCCCAGUAUCCUUUAGUAUCCUUGUCCUCAACUCUAGCACUAAUACACCAAUCAGUACUUACAAUCUGGUCUAAAAUCACCUCAUUGUUCCAGAAUAAUGCUAGACCGCCUGCUUUACCUAUUGAAUUCACAAAAAAGCUAUUGUCAUACUGAAUCUUCCUUUGAACCUUGCCCAUAAACCCUUCCUGAUUCUUAGUUUCACAAAGGAACACCACCUUAGGAGAGUGGAAGUUAGUCACUUCCUUUAGUUGGGGACUUGUCAAGGGGCCUCCUACACCUCGACAAUUCCACACCACAACCUUCAUUUACACUUUGGAGGCUUUCCGGGGCUAGCCUCCAUUUCCCCUAUUGUACUAACAUUUAUUAGAUCCAGUUUCAUAACCUUUACCUUCGGUACAUUAUCAUCAUCCUCCUCUAUCGGUUGUGUUCCCUGAAACAUACCAUCAGCCUUCCUUUUAGCACACGAAACCUGCGUUACUUGUCCAUUUGUAUCUGCCUUUAAGGAUGUUUUAGCCGGCCUCCCUCUUCUUUUAAAACUGCUUCUUUUUUCAGCUUUGUUAUCUUCUUCCCCUGGAGUAGCCUCCUUUCUUGGCAUUCUUGCAUUUGUCUCCUCCUGCUUUAUUGACCCUACCCGCAAACUUUCACAUUCCUGUUUUGAGCUGUCCGUUUCCAUAUCCUCAUAAUCUACUGGUGGGAUUACGCUGCUCCCUCCUUUACUCCCUUCCUGUACCCUACCCUCCUUUUCACCAUUUCCCUCCAUUAAGACCACAGCCAAACUUUCCACCCGUUGGUUUGCCUUUCCAUACUGCCUGCUGUCUUUUAGAAUCUCAUCCCACCUCUCUUCAUAUUGUCUCGUCAUCAUUUUCUCCUUAUCCCCCCUUUCCUUUCCCCCCAAGACUCUACCAUUUUUUCCCCCAAGAGUUAAUGUAUCUCCAGCCAUUUGUACUCCAGUUUGAACUUCACUACUAGGAGACCCUGCCCCCACCCUCCUUGCAUCAAUUUCACUUACUCCUUCCAGCCGUCCCUUUAAGGGAGAUACCAUUAUAUUUCCAGCUCUCAUCCAGGCACCAUAUUGUUCCUCUCGCUUCUCCCCCCCACCCUUCCUACCACAGUACAAGUCCUAUCACUAUGCCCAAUGAUACCACACCUAUAACAGAAAUCAGGGCAGCGUUCAUACCUGAACUCAACCCACACUGCCUGGUUCUUACAGUUGAUCUUUGUCCCUCUAACCAGUGGUUUCGUUAUAUCUACCUCAGCCAUAAUCUUCAUGUGGCGACCCUCUUUCCCACCACUUCCUGGGAGAAUCACUCCCCUCACUGAUUUAAAGAUCCCUCCUAUUUUCAAACCCACUGCUCUGCUCAACCAGUGCACCGGUAGGUUCCAUAGUUGAAUCCAAAGAAAGGAAUGCUGGAAAAAGCUGCUGUUUGUAUCAUACCCCUCUACCCACUCCUUCACUAUCAGCAACUGGUUGUCCAUGACCCAAGGCCCUCCAGAUAAGAUCUUUUUCUUUUCCCCUUCAUCUCCCAGAUGGAAAUGGAAUAAGUUAGGACCUAACUCAGUCACUUUCAUCUUUGAGGGGUAUCCCCAUGCAUGAUUUGUAAAGUUCUUUAACCCCGUAAAGUUGGCAAUUUUUUCACCAAUCAGCUUUCCUACCAGGCUUCCUUGACACUCAGAGACGCCUUCUUCCAGGUCCUCACCACUCAGAUCGACACCUCCUAACUCUGUUUCAGACAAGUCAAAAUUUUGAAAGGCUCUUUCUAAAGCAUCCGCCAUUGCUGUGACGAGAGCUCCUUGAGAAACCAAGCACUAUUUCUGAGCUAUGAGUGACCCACUGACAGACCUGUGAAGAAUUGCAAAGACAGACAAAGCUGUGUUAUCCGUACACACUAAAAACCAACCAGAAAAACAGAGAGGAACUCGACAGAAAAAGCACAGGCACAAGAAGAAACGAAAGAAAAAAGAAAAACCAACAAACCACUAUCCCACUCCCGACCACAUAACAGCAUUAAAGAAAGGGACACAAAUACGACACUCCAACUUCCGAUCACAUGCUCUGACUCAAUGGAUCAUAUCUUGCCCAAAGCGUUUACUCCUCCAACCGAUUCCAAACCACUACAGACAUUGUCUCCCAUUUUGAAGCCGGAAGAAAGGUGGCUUCUGGACAGGGAACAUGAAAGCAAAGGUUGAACUAAAGAUUUGAUUUUAGAUCUGAAAAUUACGCUGUAGGAAAAAGUGCUAUGUGUUUGUACCUCACCCACUCUCCCACACCGAGGAGGGGAACCUCUAAAGUUAGAGAGAGAAGCUCUCAAGUUAGAGAGAAGCUUUGGAAGUUAAUUACCAACGUACCAUGCCGUACAUGUUUGUAAGGAUUUCUAUCCUAUUGGCAAAAGUCGGUUCCAUACAAUUAAUCAAUUCAUUUCACUUCUAUUGGCUCUACUAUUUAUGCAUGUUACGACACUCUUUCCCUUAUAUUUUGCCUUUAAUAUUAUGAGUCAAUAGUAAUAAUGGGCCUUUUUCUUAAAAUUAUACUAUUAUACAUAGGUAGUUUGGUCUAACGCUAAAUUCAUGUUUGUCUUUCUUUUAUUCCCUUUACAUCUCAAAGUAUACUAUAGUUUGUAAUCAUUGUGGUGAUGAUAUUACCAGCUGGUACUUAUAGUUUAAGGCAGAGACAUGAUAUUAACAACUAUCUCAUUGAAACAUAAGUCAAAAUCAUGACAAGUGUGAGUCUUGGUUAAUGCACAAUUUGUUAGUGGAAUUUAUAUUUAUAAAACUCAAAAAAAAUUUUUGACAAUGCUAUUACUAAUUAAUUAAGGACUUCAUUGCUAUAAUUUAUCGCUUACUAAUUUAAACUAUAAAUGAUCUCAAUACUUUUCUCCAUGAUGUCGAUUUCUUUAGACUACGAAAGGGAAAAAUUAGUGACAUAUCCCUUACUGAUUACAACAUCAGCAAAAAUUAGUUAUAAACUUUUCCGGUGGUUUUAAAUCCCUCGGGCACUAAGGUUUUUUGCACAUCGAGUGAAUUAAGGAACAUAGGCAAUUCGUUCUGCAUACCAAGUCCUUGUUUAAGAUGCACGUACUAAAAUGCAUCCACUUCAUUAAUUUGGAAAAUUGCCAUAGUUUUUUUUAAGCAUUUUGAUUUUUUACAUGAUUCAAAAUUUUCUUAUUGGAUACAAUCACUUUGUGUCAAGAACACAUUUUCAAUCAUCUUUUUUAUCUUCUCAAUAAGAAAAUAAAAAUUUAUUCAUGCUUUUCUAACAUAUCCAAUCAUUGAUCUGAAAAAUAAAGAAUUAAAAAAAAAAGACAUUUUCAAUCAUUGCUUACGGGGCAACUUCCCCAUGUGAACCUCAUCAAACAAAGCCAAUAAUAUGAAGGAACAUCUAAAUACACUUUUGCCCUAAAGGCUGGUUGCCUUGGGGUCAAAAUUUAACCUUCGGGAGUAUAAUUACCCGCCAAAUUUAUUAUUUUUUUUAUGGGUAUAUAGUUCCAAUUUUGCCUCCUGUUAAGCUUAUAAAUAUAUUACGACCCAGAAAAUAAAGGAAUCUUGAAUAGUAACAUGUCCAUUGACUUGAGUUGUUAUCAAUUUGGCUACUUCGAUUCCAUGAGGCCAAUCCAAUUCACACUAGCUAGAGAAAAUGGUGAUAAAGGCACUUAGAAAUUUAUAUGUAAUAUUGAUUGGUAGUAACUGAUAAGUAUAUAUUUUACGUGUUUUAAAUAUGUUUUAUUAGUUAGUUUUGGUGUGUUUUAACUACUUUUAUAACUAAUUAACUAGGAAUCUAGUGAAAAUAUGCAUUUUGUGGUUUGAAGUGUAAAAAUUGUAUUUCUAUGGAUUUUAAUGGUGAAAACUUCAUGUUUUUGUAGGUUUAAUGAUUCAAUCAUCAAAUGACAUGAUUUGAGAAGAUAAUUAGAUGAUUGAUGAUGUUUUGAAGUGAUAAAAAGAGAAUACAAAGUGCAAGAGAGGAAAUGCAAUCAAGAAUAAAAGAAGAAAAUUUUUGUAGCUUUGACAUAUUGUCGUAUUUCGGCAAUAUAUUGAGCUACAAUGAUCGGAUUAAGGUGAUUCUUAAACCAUUUGAAGCUAAAAUAUAGAUCUACAUUUGGCAUGAAGGCAUCGAAACCCAUGUCAGUCAUUUUCCUUGUCAAAAUGUUGAAAUACAGAAGUGCAACUCUGUUCUCGAAAGCUAAAACAGAGCUCUGGCUAGUCGAGGGUAUUUUCAUCAUUUCUUAGUCCACAGAGCUCCAAAUGAGAUGAUUCUUAAGGCAUUAGAACCCUAACUCAAAGAGCUACAACUUUCAUAUUUUGUACAAGAGUUAGUUCGGCCUCUAUCAUUAAGAAAAUAGUAGUUGAAGUGGUGCCAAAUGCAUAGAAGUGAAAACGCGAGCUAUCAAUACUCGACCUGAAGUCGCGUAUUCCUGAGGUCAUGCAUUCUCUUCUAUUUUCUGCAACUUGCCCUGCUUUCACAUAACUUUUUCAUCUCAAUUCCAACUAUCAAUUUCGGCUAUAUCUGAUCAAGAAAAGUGUGGAAAGUUUGAAAGACAACUCAUAGGAGUUUCAAGAGUCAAAAAUUACAAUUAGAAACAACUCAUUUGGCUCUUGAAUCCUCUAUAAAUAGAGGCCUUUGAAGAACAUUUUCACAACUUUGGAAGGUUAGAGAAACUCCACAAAAACAUAGUCUUCACUAGAAUUUCCUUAGUUCAUUAGUUAGGGUAGUAUAGUAUAGUUAGUGUAGCUUUUCCUUCUUGUAUUUAUAGUUAGGUUUGAAUGAAGAUUCAGGAGCAAAGAUAGAGAGGUUGAUCUCAUGUGACAAGGGUGAUAUCUCUUCUACUACUUUCUCUUUUGUAUUUGAUUUCAUAUUUAACUAUACUACAAAUUUGGCUUUGUUUUUUUUUUUUUAUCAUGUUUAGUUAAAGUUUAUGCCUAGAGUAUGGAUGACCUUUUUAUAUCUUGUUUGUGAUAUUUAACUGGUUAUUUGAUGAUGUUAUUUUUGAGCAAGUUAUUUAUCACUUUUGCUUUUCUAAUCAUGAUUAACUGGCCAUUAGUUGUGAUUAUCUAAAAGUGUUAAGUUUGUAAUGAGAAUUGGAGUUUAACACUAGUUCAAGGAAGUGAUAAAUUUAGGGAGUUCACUCAUGAGAGUAGAGGAACACCUUUGUGACCUAAGUGACUUGUUUCAUAUAAUUUCAUAGAAAAAAUGAACUUGUAAUUAAUUUCAUAACCACGAGAGUAAGUAUGGUUUAGCUAUAUGUAUAGUUGAUUCACUACGAGAGUAGGUUUCACAUACAUUAGAAAAUUACAUCAUAACUAGUCAAGAUAAUAUCAUUCAUUUAAUCAGUAAUCUCAUUUGCAUGAGUAGUAAGGCAUUCCAUAUCUCUAGGAGGUUUUUAGUAUUAUUUUCAUUACUUUUAUGUUUAUGGUAGUCUAGAUAAUAAUGGAGUUCGAAAACUACUAGUAAUUGAAAAUUUUCCCUGUGGGAUCGACCUUUAAUACCCUAUACUCGCUCUCGACUCGUAUACUUGAGAAAAAUCACGUGUGCGGUAUUUAGAAUUUAUAAAUGUAAAACUUGACUGUAGAUGAACUAAUUGAUAUAUGUAUACCCCGCACUCGUCAGUAACCAGCUUGUAUUGAUCCCACUAUUGUGGAUAAUUGUGCUCUUAUGAAAAAAAAUUAUAAAAAAAUUAGCAAAAUUUAUGAUAACAAAUUAAAUUUAUUCAUACAAAUCAGUGAAAGAAGUAGAAUUUUAAAGUCCAUGAUGAAAUUAAUACUUUCAAGGGCUCUAUUAGGAAGACUUCACUUGUUGGUGAAACUACACUAGCACAGUUAUAUGCACAUUUACUGUUUUGGUAUCUAAUUUCCUUGCCUUAAGUUGGGUGCAGAUGUUUAUAUUACAAAUAGAUGGUAUCAUAAAAUUGUUGUAUUCACGUUUGUUCUUUUUUUUCUUCCUUAAGUUUUUUUCUUUAUUCUCGUGACUUCAAAAAUACGAACUCAAGAAAUUGGCUGCUUAAUCAAUAUGUCAUACAGGCUUCGCUAGUGAGGUAUAACUUCACAACUAGAGUCAAUAGAAAUUAUCAAAUGAUUUUUUAACAUCCAAAUUAAGCAAUAAAUUUUGUUUUCAUUUUAUGACAUAUAAUAGUACUACUUCAUGAGAGAUUUUAUAGUUUCUUUUAGGUAUCAUACCUACAAGUGAUAUUUGUCAUUGGAUAGUGACAGAAGUGUUAAUGAUUGUAAGAUUAAAUAUUGUUAAAUAUUGAAAUUUAAACUAUUUAUCUUUAUUGAAAGAUACAAGUUAAAGAAUCGUUCAAGGGGGCAAUUUUCCAUCUUGUCUUUUUGAAAAAACGCUAUCACAUUGUAUAGGCAUGAUAGGUUCAAAUUUGUCAUUAAAUUUAUGAUUGAUUUUCCUUUUAUUCAAGCCAAAUAUUGUUUUAAUUAUCAAAUUCUACUUAUAUUUGGUUAAUUGUACUAAUUGUAGGGCGGUAGAGCAAAAGUUGCUAAAAAUAGGCGAUUUUCUGCAAAUUGGUUGUCAAGGCUGAAGGAUUUGGGAUUCGCAUGUUCAAGGCCUGUUUCCAAGUUUGAUUCAAACUCUGGACAGUUUUAGAGGAAGAUUUGGAAGAUUUGAAAUUUCAUUAUUAGUUUUAUGGUUGAAUUAGGAAUCUUGGAAUAAUUUCUUUUGUGAUUUAUUUUUCUAUUUAGGAGACUAGUUGUUAUUUAGUAGUAGACUUCAAUUAGAAAACAAAGAGAAAAAGAAGGCCGGAAUCCCGCUUGAUUAAUACCUUGGCCAGGGAACAAUCUCGGUGGGGAGGACGGCCACUUAGCCUCUCAAUUCAUCUUGCUUUUCGUUAGUUUGAGAGGAAAACCAAUUGCAACUAGAUUCAAUGGAGUCUGGCAGAAUUUCUUCUAGGAUGCGUAGCUAAAUCCUCAAUUUUUAGUCGAAGGUCAAUUUGAAAAUUCGGUUCCAAAUAUCUGUGAAAUCGAAUUAUUUUACUUAUUUCUUUUAUUUAUUGGUAUUCGCACGUUUUCUGAUUUAACUUUUUAUGAUUGUUUUGUUAUUUGAAUGUCAAGGGUCCGAUAUUCGAAUUAACUUAAUAAUCUACUGCCAAAUUAACCGGUUAAAUCCGUAAUUGUUUGAUUGAUUAAUAUCAGUGGCGACUAGCGUGAUUGGUCCCAUGUUAGGAAAACGUCUGAUCUAAUUUAAACAAACCGUCGUAGCGUGUUUGUUGAUUAGGGUUGGGCUUUUCUAAUUCUUAAUUCAAUUGAGAAAUUAAAUCCCCCGGUCGUACCUAGGAUUAUUUUUUUGUUAGCGAAAUAGUUAAUGGUCGUACCUUGACUAUCGAAAAAGUAAGGAAGAGUUGAUUGUUUAUCGCGUGUACGACAACUAUAAUCAAUCUAUUAAUGAGUAAUUGAAUUAUCUUUGCAUCAGUAAUCAGUUGAAUGGACCGUGUCUGAAAAGUUGUACCUUUGGCUAGAGUCUUAUCUGUUGUUGAUUCAUUCAUAUCUAUCUUCAUGCGUUGUUUUAAUUUAGUUAAUUAGUUAUUUUUAUAAAAACCCCUCAUCUCUGGACUCUAAAAGAAAUAAAUUAUUUCUAGUUCCUGUGGAUUCGAUCCUACUCACCAUACAAUCCAACCUGCAAUUGUAUGAACCCCAAUCUCGCUUCCUAGUCCACCAUUUUUCUCUAGGUAAUAAUCUCCCUUCUAAUUUCUUCACAAAAUGCACCUUUCAUCACCUCCAAUAGCGUCGACAUGAUCUUUACCCCAGAAGACUAUUCACCGACUCUCAAUUGACGUUAGAAAAUCUAAGAGUAAUUCUACUUUACCCUAAGAUUGAUAUCAACAAGACAAGGACAAUUUAGAAUUAUUACACGCCUCUUCUUAAUAGGAAAAAGAAAUAGAGAAGAAAGUCAGGCCAGGUCUAAUUUCUUUUCAAAGGCAAUACAACAUUACGAAAUCAAGCAUUCAUUCAUACAAAUAUUUCAUAGUCACCGGUUUGCUGAGUAGAAAAAUUUAGACAAAAACUUAAUAUUAUAUUGUUUAAGAGUUAACAAUUUAGAGCUUAAUCUCCUUGUACUUUGGAGUUAACAAUUUAGAGCUUAAUCUCCUUGUACUUUGGACUAAACUUGAACGUGAAAGGAAAUCCCAAAACCAUAUUGGGCAUGAAUUCACACUUAAUAUACCCAAUAAAAGAUGGCGACUGGUGAAAGGCAGUGGAGACUGGUGGAGAGAUUUGAGGAAUAGAAGCAGACGGAAAAGCAACAAAUUUUUGCCGAAAAACGGUCACUUUCAUGGUUAAUUUUGCUACUCUCCAAUUGUACUUGACCAAUUACAACAAUUUCAUGGAGUUUGAUACGUGAAAAGAAUUUUUUAUAAAUUUUAUUUUGAUCCAUAAUGUUAUCUUUACAUAUAUAAAACAUUUUACAAUUUUGAUUUUGGCGCAGUUAACUUUUGGUAAACAAAAAUGCUCAUGUUUAAAAAACCGGAAAUAAAACAAAACAAGAAACAAAAGAAAUAAGAGGGUAGCAUAGACAUUUUGGAUUUUUCCGUUAAUUUGGAUGAUUUCCACCCACGUUCUAAUUUAAUCCAAAACACAAAGGAAUUACGUAGAGGUUUUAAAUAAUGAGGGAGCUUCAUGAUCGAACCCCAAACCACAAGGCGAUUUACUAUAUUUUACUCUUAAAUUUUGGUUUCAUCUCAUAGCAUACAAGAGUUCUAUUUCACUAUCUGUAGACAAAGACUUUCUAUGGUUGAUGUACCAUAGGAAAAAAUCUGCCUAUACAACGUGAUAGCAUUUUUUCAAAAACACAAGAUGGAAAAUUGCCCCCUUAAACGGGGAAAUUCAUGAUCUUUCCUCGAACAAAGAAUACUCACGCCUAUUCAAGAUGGAAAAUUGCCCCCUUAAACGUCUAUUUGUCAAUUCUUGAAAAAAGAAUACUCACGCCUAAAACACGGCCUCUUCAUCUGCAGAAUUCUAAAAAGUUAGGUAAACUCUAUAAACAAGUUGAUAGGUACAAUCGUACCCAAGAUCAAGUACAGAUAGUUGUACAUUCACUGCUGCAAUAACUAAUCUGAUGACUUACAAACAUAUCAUGGUCAAUCGUUGAAUGGUAAUGAGUCUUUUGUUAUGCAUUAGUAUUAGUGUGUACACUCUAAUAGAUUGAUACUUAUACUCUUUAAAUUAUCAUAAUAAUACCCUUAAUUAACUUUAACUCUUAAAAAGAAUACGUGUUAAUACACGAGAGUGUGUAACCUGAAUUGUUACUUAUACAUUAGUGUGUAAUAGAUAGGGAUGGCAAUGGGGGCGGGUGCCCGCAGGCAACCGCCCCGCGGGGGGCUCUCGGGGCGGGGAGGGGGGAAUUUUUUCCCCCCGUUUAGAAACGGGGCAGGGGACGGGGGAGUAUACCCCCGCCCCAUCCCCCGCAAAAAAAAUUAUAUAUAUAUAAUUAUAUAUAAUAUGUAAUUUAAUUAGUUAUAAACUUAUGAUAAUGAUAUUAUUAGUUAGAUGUAUUAUAUAAUGUAUAUUAGUGUAUGUAAUAUAAUUAAUAUUAUCAAUUAUACGAAUAAUUAGACAUGUCUACUAAUAGAAUUUAUUAAUUAGUUAUACUAAAUUUACUAAUACAUUUAUACUAAAUUUCUAAUUACAUUUAAUAGAAUAACACUUUUUUCUAAAAAAAAAAGCACAAACACAAUAAUGAAUUAGUGAUUGUAUUUUUACCAAAAAUGAAAACUUAACUAUUUUAGUUGCAUUUAUUUCAUCAUGUUGGAUUGUAUUCAAAUAAUUUUUGUUUGAUUGUUUUUAUGAGUUUCAAUUGUAAAAUUAAAAUGAAUAAUAACUUGAUGAAUAAUAAUGUCAAUCGUUGAAUGGUGUGUACACUCUAAUAUUAUGCAUUAGUAUUAGUGUGUACACUCUAAUAGAUUGAUACUUAUACUCUUUAAAUUAUCAUAAUAAUACCCUUAAUUAACUUUAACUCUUAAAAAGAAUACGUGUUAAUAACUCUUAACCUGAAUUGUUACUUAUACAUUAGUGUGAAAUAGAACGGCAAGCAUUGAGCAACUUAUAGGAGAAAUAGUCCUAUAAGCUGUUGGAUGACUAAUAUAGCUCUAGCUGUAAUGUUUUAAUUAAAUUACAUCACUAACGUUGGGAUGACUAAUGGUUUAAAAAUAAUUGAGUAAUUGGAAAAAAAAAAAGAGACUAAUUUUCAUUGAAACCCACCGACAAACUAAACGUGUCCAUGGCUUUUGAAUAGUGCAUUCAACGUUUAAUUGUAUAGUCCAGUUCAUUGCAGAUUACAUGGAGUAAAGAUUGUGCUCUUUCCUUUUUCACCCCUUUUGGAAUCGAUACUGUGGAGAAUUGGGUUUUUCCCUUCUUUUUUUCUUUUCUUUCUUUCUGUGCUUUGCAAAACAUAGGUAAAAUUAUGAAAUCCGAAGCAUUCUUUAAUUGGGAUUAAGUAUUGUUCUUGAAAUUAAAAAGAAGAAAGAAAGAACAACAAAAUUCCCUGAUUGGUUGCAUCGUGCUUCCAUAGAAGCUCUCUUAGUGUGAUACACUGCUUUCAAUCAGUUUAACAUGGAAAAAAGAAAGAGAUGAAAAGCAAAUUUGGUGGGGAUAAUUUCAGAAACCUCCCCUGAAGAUUUUGACUAUUCUACUGGUCUCCCUUCAGAUUUUAAAAAUUACACUAAUCUUCCUUGAAGUUAUAACAUUUAAAUUCAAUCAAUAAUUUAAAAAAUGAUAUUAUGAAAGAGAAAAUAAUAUGAUUUUAUCAUUGCCCCCCAUCUUACUACAUUAUUUAAUUAAUUUAAUAGCAACCCACACAUUAAAGAAAAAUAUAAAAUUUGUUAUUUAUCAUUAAAGAUCAAAUCGCUUAUAACAUCAAAUAAUAGUAUAUUAUUUAUAUUUUUCACUUAACAUAAUAUCCAAAUUACUCUUUUCAAUUACAUACUCAUUGUUAGACAAUCAACAACAAAUAACCAAAAAAUUUGCAACCAAAAUAUUACAAAAAAAAAUAAACUUUAACAUCAUAAAUAUUCUUAUCAACAUAUUAAAGUUAGUUACUGAAAUUUUUAUGGUGUUAAACUUCACUCUUUGUAAUAUUUUGGUUACAGAUUUUUUUUGAUUAUUUUUUAUUAAUUAUGUUUGAUGAUGGGUUUGUAAUUGAAAAGAAUAAUUUAAAACUUACAUUAAGUGAAAUAUAUAGAGUGAUAUACUAUUUUUUAUAACAUAUGUGAUUCAAUCCUUCUUGAUAGGAUUGGUAAUAGAGGUAGAGGGGGGAGUCGGCUGCAUCCGGUCUUCUUUUCAUAGAUAGUACAAUAUUGCGAAAUCAAUCGCAUUCACACAAUAAUAUUUCGAAGUCAAUGCAUGGCUAAGUUGCAUAAAAGUACGAACACUUGUUAUUAUAUAGCUUAAGAUUCAAAACUUUAGAGCAUAACCCUCCACCUAACACAAUUGAAUAAUGAAUAUUCACGUUUGUCAAAUCUGUCAAAGCACAGUUUGAGGACAACCCAUUCCAACCUGCAAAAGAUUUUUUACUUUUCUAAAGUUGUUGAGAGCUGUAAAAAGACCUACCAUGCUUACAUCCUCCGAGCCUUGGGAGUUAAAAAUGAAGGCACUGAGUGCUAUAAAAAGGGGGCUAGAGGCUGCCUAGAAGCAUAUCAGCCUAAAACAAGAAUUUGUUGUUAUGAUGGGAAGCAAAGCAAAAGCAAUGGGGUCUGGGCUGACUCCUCUUCUUGCCACUGUUUUAGUGGUAUUUGUUGCUCUUGGCUUGCCCUCAGAAACAGCAGCUGAUGAUCACUACAAGUAUUCAUCUCCUCCUCCUCCUUACCACUAUCCCUCACCACCGCCUCCAGUGCAUUUACCUCCACCAGUGUACAAAUACAAGUCCCCACCACCACCUCAUCAUGUUUACAAGUACAAAUCUCCACCACCCCCACCACCACACCCAGUUUACAAGUAUAAGUCACCACCACCACCUCCUCAUCCGGUACCACACCCAGUUUACAAGUAUAAGUCACCACCACCACCUCCUCAUCCGGUAUACAAGUAUAAGUCUCCUCCGCCACCACCACACCCAGUUUACAAGUAUAAGUCACCACCACCACCUCCUCAUCCGGUACCACACCCAGUUUACAAGUAUAAGUCUCCUCCGCCACCAGUUUACAAAUAUAAGUCUCCUCCACCACCACCUCCAGUGUACAAGUACAAGUCUCCACCACCACCAGUUUACAAGUACAAAUCACCACCACCUCCUCCCCCAGUUUACAAAUACAAGUCUCCACCACCACCAGUUUACCACUACAAGUCACCACCACCUCCUCACCCAGUUUACAAGUACAAAUCUCCUCCACCACCAAUUUACCACUACAAGUCACCACCACCUCCUCCCCCAGUUUACAAAUACAAGUCUCCACCUCCUCCUCACCACUACUAAGCAAUUGCUUCUGAGGUAAUAACACUUGUUCAAUAACACUUGAUAGCCAGCUGAAUAUUUGCAGGCAAAGGAGAAGGAAACCAGUGUUUGAGACCUUCUUGAAGAUGUAGAAGCAUAAGAAUUAAAGCCCAAUGUGAAGAUGAUGAUUUCAAGUUUUUCUACGUUACCAUUUCAAUAUCUAAAUUGGUUGUAGCGCCUUAGUUCCUUUGUUUAUGGGAUUUGUAUCGUUUUACGUACCAUGCAGUACAUGUCAUGUUUGUAAGGUUUUCUAUCCUGCCGGCAAACCGCAGGUUCCAUGUAAUAAAUCAAUACUAUUUAUAUUACGACACUUUUCUCUGUUUCUCUUAUAUUUUGUCUUUAAUAUUCUUAAUCAUAUUUUUAACAAAAAUAUUCAAACACUUCAGCAAUGGUUCACCUAGUUGAUCAUCGAAGCAGAGGCAAUUCCAAUUAUUUAUCAAUAAAUAGGAUAUAACUACCAAACAAGCGAUGGCAGUUAACCCCUCCUUACUGUGUCGGUGAUCAAGGUACGCCCGUUAAUCACUGCUCUAAUUGAGAAAUAAUCCUAAGUACGCCCGUAGAAUUUAAUUCCCCAAUUGCCUUACAUAUUAGAGGAGCCCUAUUCUAACCAAAUAACGCACUAUCAGGGUUAUUUUAGAUUAGCCCGCGUAUUCCCCUGACAUAAAUCUAAUCAUGCCAGUUGUCAUUAUUUUGAGGUAAUUAAACAAUUACGGAUUUAACACCUCAAUUGACAAUAGAUUAUUAAAUUAAUUAAUUAUUCGGAUCCAAGACAAUCAAUUAAUUAAACAACCAUAAGCACUACAAUCAGAGAAUAUGCAAAUACCAAUAAAUAAAUAAAAAAUAAAAUUAAAUCGAUCUCACAAUUUUUAGGCGAAUCAGAGCAUCCGUUGUCCCUUGACUAGAGCAAGGAAAUUAGUUCAUAUUUGAUGAACUAAACCCAUACAAAAGGGAAGCGAGAAAUGCAGCCAUUAUCCUUUGAAAUCUGGAAAAUUCAACUUGUCCGAAUAUCGAAUAGAUAGUAAUACUACAAAAGGUAAUUCAUAGCUUCCCUUUCGUCUGACACACAAGAAGAAAAAAAAGGGCUGCUAAUAACUAAAGGAGGAAAAGUCAAAGUCCUAAGCUAUGCUACAAGACGAAAAACUAAAGAAGACAAAAAGGCAGUGCUCAUUCCCUGCAAUCUCAAUUCCUAUUCUAUCUAAGUGCUCUCCAAUGUGCGGCGGCUCCCCUUCCGGAGAGGACGAAGUGGCACCCUUUUUUCCUGCGCAAUUUUCCUAUAUAAAGUAGUGCUCCUUGCAGCGGCUCCUGUGCGAAAAAAUGAAGACUUCGGCCCAAUUUGCCUAACAAGGGCUCACGUUUUGUUGUUCUAAAAAUGUCCCUAGGACAAACUCUAUCAUCUGAACUCUUUUCUUGCCAAAUUAGUACCUGUUAUUAUAUUUUCGUUCUACUCCCUGAAAUAAAUGCAAAAUAUCAAAAGUGAGUAGAAUCUAGCAAUUAAUCCACAUUAGGUCAGGUAAUAGGGAAAAUUAAUAAUAAAAUAAAUGAUAAAAUUGCAAUCUAUCACGGGACCACUGUGGUAAGGUGUGUUUCGCCUAUUAUAAGGAGUUCGGAGAGUUAGACGUGUUGGAGGCGGAGGCGCGGUCACUCCUGCACGCCCUCCAGCUGUGUGCAGAUCGCGAGGUACGGGCGUUGACUGUAGAAUCUGAUUCAAAGGUGCUUGUUCAACUAGUUUGCUCGGAUAUGAGGUCGAAGUGGCCGGUGUGUAUCGUAUUGCGGGAAAUAAGACAUUUGAUCCGGCGGAUGGGUGCAUCCCUUCAUCAUAUAUUCCGUGAGGCCAAUUCGGUGGCGGACGCAUUGGCUUCUCUGCAAUUGGGAGGGCAGCAGUACUACACCUCAGGCGUGGCGCUGCCUUUCAGGCCCAGAGGAGAGGCUCUGCUGGAUCGUCAAGGAGUACCUCGCAUCCGUGAGGCGCUCACUAAGGUUUGAUAGGCUAUGUCCUCCUUUCAAAAAACUUAUUUCAUCUACUCCUUGUAAUCAUUUUUCUUAUCAAUAAAUUGAGGCUUUUUAUUUAAAAAAAAACAUAUAAUUUAAGGCAAAAAUAUGAUCCUAGCGAGUAUCGCACUGAGACAUUAGGAAACAUCAUUAAAAGAGUAUUUCUUGAGUUAGUGCAACUAUUUCUUAGGGGAAUUUAUAGUUACAAAAUUCAAAAAUUUGAGAUUCUAUUACUGAUUAAUUAAGGGCGUUAUCACUAUUUUUCUUAUUAUCACCAUUAUUUACCCCACAUACUAUAAGUUUUUUUAGGGCACAGGAAAAGAGGUGGGCCGAUGUUUAGUUAUGUACAAAAGUUCAAAAUUUGUAGAUAACUUAUCAUGUGCCCUUAGAGCGUAGAAUACAGAAAAAAUAUCUUAAACUAUAACUAAUCCUAAUAUUUUUCUCUAUGAUAAACUAGCUCUUAUCCAUUUCUUUAGAUGAUGAAAGGAAAUAGUUAGUCACCUGUCCUCUAGUGAUUACAACAGCAUCAAAACAAAUUAGCACUCUUUUCCCGUAGUUUAAAAAUCCCUCAGCCACUAAGAUUUUGCAUGUCGAACGAAUUAAGGAACAUAGAAGGUUCGUGCUGCACCACAGUGUCCUUGUUGACGAUGCAAAGACAGAAAUGCAUCCGCGUAUACUUCCUUAAGCAUUUUGAUUACUUUAUGAUUCGAACUUUUCUUGUCUGACAGCUGGACUUAAUUGAAAAACACAAGUAACAAUAUUUCAAAGUUGAUUCGUCAAAGUUUACCCAAUUGGUGAAACUUUCUUCAUAGAGCUGACUUUGUAUUAGGUGACAAUGAUAUGGAAUUGAUGUCCUUCCCUUUUUCCUUUUUUUGUGUUGAAGACGCACAACGUUUUCAAUGGCAAAUUUAUAUGGGCUUUUCACGACAAAAUGUGUUCUGAAAAGUUCAUUCCAGAGGUUAAAAUUUUGUGUGUUAAAAAUUUGCUUCUCAGGACUUUGAUGGGAAAGUCUUGGUGUUUCCAAAAAGUUUAAGCAGGAUGCUUCUGGCUUUCUCUCCAUGUAUUUGUGAGUUAGAUCUAAAAUUAUCAGGGCUCCAGAGAUCUCUUGAAAUCGCAGCAUAUAUUGAAGUCUUUCCAGAAGGAGUCUUUUUUUUUUUUUUUAUGAAUUAUGAUAGAUAAUUAAUCUGACGGUGCAUAUAUAUAUAUAUGUGAUUUGCAGUAGGGUGUUUGACGAAAUGGUUAGGCUUCCUAAGUAAUGAUAGGAAUGCCAUUUGCAAAGAAGGACAGGGGGCUGGUGCUGUCAUAUUUUAUGCGAUUUGAUCCGUUGUUGUAUAAGUUUAAACUUUUGACGUGCAAUUGUGCUAUAAUAUUAUACUAAAUAUAUGUGUGAAAUAUUUUGUCUAUAUACAUCACUUUUAUCAUGAAUACAACAGCUGAGUAUAAUAAUAUAGUAUAAUGUAAUUGUACACCAAAUAAUGUAGCAAAUAUAACAAUUGAUCCGAAUUACACGGAACCAUAACAACAAGAUCACCGCCUCCCAAAUUUUACAAAAUUAGGUUUUUUUUUUUUCUCUUAGAUUAUUGAAAAUUUUCAAAAAUAAUCUACAUAAUUUAAGCUUUUGUCCUACAAAAAUUUGAAGAGAUUUUACAUUACAAGCUUAAGCUUAGAUAUAUUAAACUUUGCCCCCAAGAUUAAUUUUCCGUUUUUAUCUAUGAACCGAUCCAUAUAGCUAGUUAGACUGUAGUCCUCACAUUUGUGGGAUUUAACACCCAAGAUUCUCCUUCUUGGAAUGUAAAAUGUAGAUCUUCUAUGUUAAUAAUUCAAGACCCUACUGUCAUAAACGAAAUGACUGAUCAACUCCUGUAAACCUAAUUUGACAACAUUUAAAUGGAGAACUUUAGCUAAAAGAAUUAUGGUCAAGCUAAAGAAAAAGCCAGUUAUUUUCCAACAUAUGCAAUCAUUGAUCAGGAAAAAAAAAAAAAAGCAAAAAGACAUCUUCAAUCAUUUAAUAGCUCACAGUGCAAAUUAACCCCUAAGCGAAAACUGGUUGCUCUAGAAUCAAAAUUUUACCUUAGUUACCCAGGCAACUUUUUUGUUGCUUUUUUUUUUUUCUUUUCCUUUUUGGGUAUAUAUAUAGCUCCAGUUUUGCCCCCUCUGUCAAGCUUAUAUAAUUAUUAAGAUAAUAAAAGUGCCUUGAAUAGUAUUAAUAUAUCCAUUGACUUGAGCUGUCAUCGAUCGGUUUGGGCUACUUCGAUUCCAUGAGAACAAAUGGUAAUAAAAGUACUCAGAAAAUAGGGAGCCAUGAAACCCUUUUGUUCUAUUCAUUGCUAAGAUGCUUUUCUCUAUAAAGAGACUUCCUAACGAAAGUACUUUGUAGAUUUCUUUACUCCAAGUGGUGCAUGGAAAAUUAAAAUAUUCAAUUAUCAAAUAAAAUUCCCUUUUUUCGGUGUAGAUUUCAUCCAUCCAGCUGUUAACACAUUUUAUGUAUCCGAAUUAUAUAUUCUCUACCAAAUAUUGUAACUUUUCUGAGCAUCUUUACAUUUUUAUUCCCACCUAACAAAUUAGUUGUUGAGCAUCUUUACAUGCUAUCGGAUCACAAGUUAAUAAUCUUUUAAAGAACAUGUUAAAUUAAUUUAUUGGUAUGAAUAGUCAAAGAAGUAUAUUAAAGUUAGUAAUCUUUAAACACCACGAUGCAAUUAAUACUUUCAAGCUCAAGGUCUUUUUUUUUUUUUUUUUUGGUACUGUACUUCCUUGCUUUAUAGUAUGCACGUUUAUUUCUGUGGAUUGCUUAAGCUUAUAUUGUUAAUAAUUGGGCAUUUAACCAUAAAUUAUAAUGAUUAUGAAGUCAUAUAUAUAUAUAUAUAUAUAAGAAAAUUACCACAAUUAUUCAAUUUUUUUUGCAAAUUCAAAUUUUAUUAAUAAGAAAUAGGCAGUAAGCUUUUACAAACGGAAAAAAAAAAUCCUACAACAACUCUAGGACCUUUGAAAGAAAGAAAAAAAAAAGAAAAGAAAAGCUUAAGGACUCUACCUCAUAGAAGCUAAACAAUCCUACAAAUAAACUGCAAAAUAAAUCACAAUAACGCAAAAUUUUUGUCUUUCUUCCGUAUGAAAUGAAACUACGAAGUCAAGAAUUGACUCCUUUAACCGCUAUUGCCAGCGGGCUCCGUCAGCAAGAUACAACUUUGCAAUUUGAUUCAAUAGAAAUCCUCAAAUAGCUAUUUUGACAGGCAAAUUAAGCAUUAAUUUUGGUAUCCCUUCAUAAAAUACAAGAGUACUUUUGAUUAUAUCUAUAGAUCAACUUUCUAGGCUAUUUUGAUGUAUUAUAAGAAAAUCUGCCUCAACAAUUUUGAUAGCAUUUUUCCAAAAGCAGAAGAUGGAAAAUUGCCCAUUUGUACUGGGGAGUUCGUGAUCUUUUCCUCCUUCUAGUCUACUUACAAUUCUUGGAAAAAGGAAUACUCACAUCUCAAACAACUGCCUGUUCAUCUGCAAUGUCCUGCCGAAUUCUAGAAAGUUAGGUGGCAAUGCUAAUUACAUUUCAAAAUUGACUGCUGCGAUGACUAAUUCGAUGGCUUACUACAUGGUCAACGUUUGGAUCCCUUCCUGUCCUUUUUGGAUGCACAUUUUUUUUCUCUAGGCAAUAUAUAAUCUCCCAACUCAUUUCUUUACAAAUGCACCUUUAAUCACCACCAAAAGGUGUGGACAUGAUCUUUACCCUAGAAAACUAAUCACCGACAGGCAAAUUGACGUCAGAAAUACUAAGAGGAAUUCUAGUUUCCUUCGGGUUAAUGCCAUUUUGUACCCUUCAACUGUAACUCGAUUUCUAAACUAUAAUUUGUGACAUUAUAGUCCUUAAACUAUGAAACCCCUCUUACUUAAGUACAAUGGUUAAUACAAUACCCGUGACUAGACAAGCAACCAUAACAAAAAAAAAUCCAAAAUUAGAGAAAAGAAAGAAGUUUCGCGACCAAAGUAUGUAUCAAGGCAUAGUAUAGAAAUAAAAGUGUCCAAAUUAAGAGUUUAGGGAUAAAAGAGAUCAAGAUAUAGUUUAGGGAUUGAUUUGUCUCAAUUAGAGUUUUGAUGUCAACUAAGAAGAGAGAUAUAGUUGAAGGGUAGAAUAUAGAUAUAACAGUUCAAUGAUUGAUAUCAACGAGACAAUGACAACUUUGGAUUAUUACCAACCUCUUCUUGAUGGGAAAAGGAAAUAGAGAAGAAAGUCGGGCCUGGUCUAAGCCUGCUUCGGAGGCAAAACAACAUUAUGAAAUCACCGGCAUUCACACAAAUAUGUCAAAGUCACCGGCAUGCUAAGUUGCAUAAUUUAUACAAACACUGAAUAAUAUAUUGUUCUUAAAAUUUUUGUUUAAGAUUUAACAAUUAGAGCACGGUACACGAAUUAGCAAUAUUAAAUAAUGAAUGUUCACGAUUGAUAAAGUUAUCAAAGUACAGUUUGAGGACAACCCAUUCCAACGUGUACAAGAUGUUUAGCCUUUGAAAAGUUAAUUAGAGAAGGUGACGAGAUUUUACUAGGCUUAAAUCUUCUAGGCCUCGGAAGUAAAAAAUGAAGGCCUUUGAGUGCUAUAAAAAGGGGGCUAGAUGUUGCCUAGAAGCAUAUCAGCCUCAGACCACAUUUUGUAGCAAUGGGGAGCAAAGCAAAAGCAAUGGGGUCUAGGCUGACUCCUCUUCUUACCACCGUUUUAGUGGUAUUUGUUGCUCUUGGCUUGCCUUCAGAAACUGUGGCUGAUUACUACAAGUAUUCAUCUCCUCCUCCUCCUUACCAUUAUUCCUCACCACCACCUCCUGUGCAUUCACCUCCACCACCGCCAAUUUAUAAGUCACCCCCACCACCUUACCACUACUCCUCACCGCCACCUCCAGUGUAUUCAUCUCCACCACCACCUUCGCCAGUUUACAAGUCUCCGCCACCACCUUACCAUUAUUCGUCACCACCGCCUCCGGUGCAUUCACCUCCACCACCACCUGUUUACAAGUCACCUCCACCACCUUCGCCAGUUUACAAGUCUCCGCCACCACCUUACUAUUAUUCGUCACCACCGCCUCCGGUGCAUUCACCUCCACCACCACCGAUUUACGAGUCACCUCCACCACCUCCUCCAGUUUACAAGUCUCCGCCACCACCUUACCAUUAUUCCUCACCACCACCUCCAACGCAUUCACUCCCACCACCAGUUUACAAAUCACCGCCACCACCUCCUCCUAUGUAUAAGUCCCCUCCACCACCUUAUCAUUAUUCCUCACCACCACCUCCAGUGCAUUCACCCCCACUGCCACCAAUUUACAAGUCUCCGCCACCUCCAAUCUACAAGUAUAAGUCACCACCACCUCCUCCCCCAAUUUACAA
Molecule: long non-coding RNA, 74914 nt
Filed under: Coffea arabica (coffee)
Lineage: Eukaryota; Viridiplantae; Streptophyta; Magnoliopsida; Gentianales; Rubiaceae
Description: long non-coding RNA (CARA_LNC007267)
Source: RNAcentral